Molecule: long non-coding RNA, 58724 nt
Filed under: Triticum aestivum (bread wheat)
Lineage: Eukaryota; Viridiplantae; Streptophyta; Magnoliopsida; Poales; Poaceae
Description: long non-coding RNA (TAES_LNC011368)
Rfam family: MIR1120/MIR1122 microRNA precursor family (bases 21387-21521)
Source: RNAcentral
UUUUUUUUUAUUUUCUGUUUUUUGCACAGGUUACAAAAUGUAUAAUUUGACAAAAUAUAGACAGCACAUAUCAACAACAGAUUCAUCGAAUACAAUAGAAGAUUAGUCUUUGAAUACAAUUCAUCAUAUUAGUCUCCGAAUACAAUUCAUCAUAUUAGUCUCCGAAUUGAAAAGACCGAACAAAGAUAGAACAUUAUAUUACAAGUCUCGAGACCGCGAGUAGCGAGUUUGUCUUCACAUUACAAGUCGAUAUCGAUCAUCUAAACUACCAUCACAUAGAAGAGAGCUGCGGUCAUCACGAUGAGCAUCAUCACGAUGAAACUCGUCUUCAUCCGGUUCCUCCAACGCUCCCUCCCCUCUCCCGCUAGAUAGCGGGCGUAUCUAGAUUCGGCCUCGGCCCUAGUGGUGUACCCUUUGUAACUGUUACCGCUGAAUCGGUGAACCUGUCUCCGACACUCCUCCCAGUCAUCGUAGACUCCGGGAACCUUACCCUUGUACACGACAUAUGUCGGCAUCGCUAUGCACUAGCCAAACGAAACGUUAGUACCAAUUCACAGACAAUACAUAAGCAAUAUAUAAGUAUGCAACAGAACGAUCGGAAGAGAAAAGCAAGACAUUAAUAGCAUCGAUUACAUCAAAGUUGAACGACUCUCGAAACCAAAGAGACAUACUACAAGUUCAUUAAAGUUUAAUUACAACAUGAGCCAAUCGAUGUUUCAGAACUAGACACAGCAUCACUGCUUUCGACUCGACUCAAGGGACCGGAGCGUGGAUGAAGCCGCCGUCUAUCAUGGGAGUCAUGAAAUAACGGUCGUUGUCAGCCUGCAUUUGUAGCAUUGUGUCGAUGCCACUGUUGGACGGUUGAUUGUUGAGGUAGAACUGCCCCGAGGUACGAAGGACAUCUUGAUGGAUGAUUUCCGCAAACUCCGACUGGAUGCAAAAGAAUUCUUGUCGGAGGUCCGCGUCCUGGAUUGCCGACACGCUCUUUGCCCAAUCUUUGAGUUUACUCGGUAGCAGAAGUUGAUGAUGGUCCCGUACGAUCGCCCGCAUGUGAUGGAUGGCAUAGUAGGCACCCUUAUGACCGCCAGGCGGCUGCUUGACGCAGCAGAACAUCGUAUUGUGGGAGAACACGUGCUUGCCGUACUUACAAAUAGGCCUGGUGAAGGUGCCUCCAGAUUUGGCGUAGCCGGGGAGAACAUCAUCAAGAACCUUCUUGACAUUUGUGUAGUCUACGUUCGACUGACGGUCCGGGUCGAAAUACGUGGCCAUAGAAUAUUUGGGGCUUAGGAGGAUGAGCAUGCAACGUGUGUCACUGCAGAAAACACGGAAUGUUAAAAGAAAAAUGAUCGAAAUGUAAGAAUUCAUAUAUUACGGGCCGGUUGAGGGGAGGACUUACUCGGGAAAGUAAGGCACGAGGAAGUUAUCCUUAUCUCGGUUUGCCAGAAUGACGCCUUCGAGGUAAGAACUCGCGACUUGCCGGUCCCCAGCGCUGCACAAGAUCUUGGCACGCAUGUAGAAGGGGUCGACUAUCACGAUGUCCGGGGUCUUGUCGCGAAUGAUCCGCAUCUCCAUACUCAGCGAAAAUAGCCGAACGAAGGUGUAGUGCAGCGGAUGAAGGUUCAACAUAGCGUGGAUGUCAUCAAAACGCAGGACGAUCGUACGCCCGAUGGAGUUAUCCACAAAGCCCUUGCCCUCUGGCACCUUGGCCGCGAAAACCGGGUAUGCCACAUCCUUCUCUCUGAGACGCCGCUUCUCCAAAGCAAGAACACUGUCAUGCAGACUCCGCAUAGCACCGGUUGCAGCAUUGAGCAUAUUUGUUGGUAGCAUCGCCCUACCCGCCACAUGCACCCUCCUCGAGAUAUCCUGCGGUGAAGGUGCACGUCCUGAGCACGGAUCGUACUCGGUGCCGGCUGGCUCACACCCUUCUUAGUCUUUCUUUUGCGUGCCUUCUUCUUCUCCUGUAAUGGGACCGAGUUCUGCUCACAGACCGCCCUCUUGAGUGUGUUGGGGCUGAUAAUAUUUCGCACCUCGCCUAUCUGAGGCUCGGUGAAAUCGGCAGCUGGAGGCGUCUCCUGAGAGCUGAACGCUAGACGGCGCCUGUUGCAACUUGGCUUCUCCGCGGUACCAGCUAGAUCGCACACGUCUUUUGUUGGGUUUGGUUCUUGAGAAGGAGGCCCCAUGAAGUCGCCAUCAUACCCAUGAUCGGCAAAGUACUGAUCGACGUUGCCAAAUGUAUCAUCGUCAUCGUCGUCGUUCUGAUCCUGUGCCAUAUGCAUGUUUGGAUCCAGUGGCAUAGGGAUGUCCGGCACCGUUACGGCGGUCUUGCCAUGGGGCCGACUUGGCACCGGCAGGACUGGCGGUGUUGUCUUUGGGGUGGUGUCCCCCGCCCCCAAACCAAUCUGGCUCUUCGGCCAAAGCAGGGGCCAGCUUAGGCAGGCGCUGAGGGUCAUCACGUCUUCAUCGUCAGCCCCGAUGGGUCGAAUCGGAGGUAACAAGUCGUCGCAGCCUGGCAGCACCCGAACCAGUUGAACCCUAAACAAGUUGGGUGGCAUCUGGGUACCGUGGAACAAGGGGUUGCCCGGUUGAACGAUUUUGCCCUUGGCGACAUCGACCAACUCGUUGUUCACGAAGUGGAGGAGAGUGCACGGAACGUCGGCGGCGCCCUGCGAAAACAUGUAGGGCGUCAGGGAUGCCCAGUCAAAGGCAAGGAGAUGAAGUCCUCGGCCGAGAGAGGCUUAAUUAGUUACCGUGAUGAUGGCGUCGAGCUCGGCUAAUGUCGACGCACCGCCAACGGCGGGCGUGCAGUUGACGGAGGGGCCGCUUGCUGAAGAGGUGCCGGCCGGCGUACACCCGGGUGCAUUAAGCUCCCGUGCCGGCGUCGGAGACACCAAUGCCGCCUCCGCCGGAGGCACCAAUGGCCCCGCCAUCGCAUUAUGCGAGUUGCUGGCCGUGAAGCUAGGAAUCGGGGGCGGCCCCUGUUGGCCGCCCGCAAUCCACGCACUCAACCCCGAGAUCAAGGUAGGCACAAGGGCGGUGAUCGUCGCUCCGAGUCGUUGUUCCACUUGCUCUUGGACAAUCUCUGGAAUCCGCGCCACCUGUGCCUUGAGUUCUUGAACCUCUCGCACCUGGCUUUCCGAGCUGGUCUUUUUCUCCUUCCGCACACCAGCAGUAUAGUAUGACCCCCAUUUUGUCGACAAGCCUUUGCCGGCCACACGACUAGCUUACGUCGGCUUACUGAGCUUAUCCUUGUUCUUCAUUACAUUCAAUGCCCUAUUUAGAGUGGUGUCCCAAGGGUUGCUCUUAGUCGACCCCGCGCUACUGCUUUCAGUCGCCUGCGGAAGGAUUUUUCUCCUUGAUCUUCUGAUAACUCUCACCUUUCUCGAUCAUUUUCUUCACAUUGCUUUUCCAAGUAGACAGGGCCUUGCUCAUCUUCGUGAGGGUAACAUUGUUCACUUUAUUCCCUUUGAGGCUUGUGUUUGCAAAUUCAGCAGGGAACUUGUAUCAUUCGUGCAGCUUCGUGAAGAGGAGGUGGCGCAAAUUCCCUCGAUCAGGAUGCCUCAGGUUCUCGGUGUUGAUCGAGACGGUGCUCCGGACAAUGCACCCGAGCUGAAGCGAGUACCCCUUGACUAUUCGUUCAGGUGCCGUUGGAUUCCCGUUGGAGUCCACUUCAGUAACUUCCUCCUUGAGGGUGAGGAGCACGAUCGGGCGCCGGUCCUUCCAUUGCCUCUUCGGUUGGCUGCCAUCUGUGCGGGCGCCACCAUCGUCAGUGGUGGCAUCCUUGGCGGCACCAUCAGUGGUGGCAUCAGUGUGGUCAUCCUCGGCGGCACCAUCAGUGGUCUCAGGAUCGGUGGGGAAGGCGGCGGCCUCAUACAAGUGAGGUUGUUCCUCCAUCUCCUGGGAUAGCUCCCAGAAUGCCUUGCCGCCCGAACCCCCGGCCUCAUCGUUGUGGGCCAUGUUUCUCUCUAAAUAGAAACAAAGUUUGGUCAAAAAGUUGGUUAUUGUCAAGGAAAAAGAUCUCUAAGUUGACCAAAUAACCUAAUUCUCGAGGAAUGUCGCCAAAAAGUUGGUUAUUGUCAAGGAACAAUUGAGAGAUGUUUGUGAUAUUGCCUAGGUGUUUUGGGAUAGAACCUGUUAGUGUGUUGUUGCUAAGGUCCAAGUCCACGUUCUCAGGGUAACCUAGUUCCUGAGGGGUGUGUCUAGAAAGUUCACUCUUCUUUUUAGAAGACAAGCGUCUGAAAUGGUAUUGCCUUUCCUUAAUUUGUACUAUUUUUUCAUUGUGCUGAAUACUUAUGUGGGUGAGUGUAUGGAGAGGAUAAACGCUAGCAGGCUGAUCAUUGCAUAUCAUUCAUAACCAUGAAUGAAGGCUCAAUGGACCAAGGAAAGAAAACCUACACAAACACAAGGAUGACUAUUGGAGACACUCAGGCCUGCUGCUUUGUGUUGACUGCUCAGAAGCUAGGGAAUGUCCAUUAUAUAUAGAUGCAGAGAAGCUUCGGCCGUGGUGAAGGUCAACCCCUAUAUUUUAAUUGGAGGGCCAAGAGAUAAGUAAGCUACAAAUUAUGAAUCUGCGUCGAAAAUUGCACCACAUUCAGCAUAGGGCAGGAGACGCCUACCCUAAUGAAUAUGUUAUUCUCACAGCUCAUCACUUGCUGAACUUGUAAAUCAUUUCCGUGAAAACAAUCAAACGGUUUUCAGCGACAAGUGAUACAAGGAACUAAAUUGGGUUUCAGCUCUACAUGGGCCAGAGUGGACUUGAGCAAAUGUGUGUAUGUGAUGUGCCCCAACAGGGUAAACUUAUUAAGAAUCGGGCACCUUCUAGGUCAAGAAAAUUGGGCAUGACCUUUGCUAAUUUUCUUGACCUAGGAGUGCCCCAUUUCUCAACCAAAACGGAAAUUAAUCAACGUUUCCGGAGAAAGGGGUUAUUUUAGAAGAUCACAAGUAGCAGCAGCAUCACUUGACAAAAUCACAACUAGCAGCAACAACUUGAUAAGGUUUCAUGGAUUCUAGAUAUACAGGUGUCAUCGAUUAGGAGCUAGCAAUCAAAGAUAAGAGACAAUAGCUAAGGCCUGCCGCAGGUUUCUGUUGCACUAGGAUUAGUAUGUUUACACGAGAAGAAGGAGGACAAUAACAUGAGCCUUACAUCUCUGACAUACUGCUGCAGUUGCAAUGCUACUCCAAAACUGAGGCCUUCUUUGGACAAAAUGCAGUGGAACUGCACUACUACUAAAAUGCAUACAGCAGCACUAUAACCAAAAAGCUGAAGACCUUAUGUAGAUAGGAUCAGGAUGCAGUGAAGAAUUCAACCAACACCCCAGCUGGGAAAUAGCUAAUGCCUGCUACAGCAUUCUCCUGCACUAGGGUUAAGUUAAGUAUGCGGCACUGUGUAGUUCAUUAGCACACUACCCUGUGAAAAACUUAGUAGUAGUUCACUAUGACACUACAAGCAGAGGACAGAAACAUGAGCUUUUUAUCUGUUACAUACUAGUACUCCAGUUGCAAUGACUCCAGAACUGAUACCUUGCUUAUAGAUAUAAAAUGUAGUGAUUGAAGAUAAGCGACAAUAGCUAAGGCCUGCCUACCGCAGGUUUAUGUUGCACUAGGAUUAGUAUGUGACACUAGAAGCAGAAGUUACUACUUAAUUAUUCUGUGAAAAAACUUACUAGUUCACUGUGACACUACAAGCGGAGGACGGAAACAUGAGCUUUAUAUCUGUUACUACUUCCCAAGUUGGAAUACAACUCCAAAUCUGAGGCCUUGUUUACAGAAAAUGCAGUGAACUGCACUGCCACUAAAAUGCAUCAGCGCAACAAUGUAAACAAUGUAACUCCAGAACUGAGACCUUGUUCCGAUACAAAAUGCAGUGAAAUGAACUACCAAUAAAAUGUACUAGAGCAGCAGUGUAUUAACCCAAAAGCCAAGACCUUGUGCAGAGGGAGAGGNNNNNNNNNNNNNNNNNNNNNNNNNNNNNNNNNNNNNNNNNNNNNNNNNNNNNNNNNNNNNNNNNNNNNNNNNNNNNNNNNNNNNNNNNNNNNNNNNNNNNNNNNNNNNNNNNNNNNNNNNNNNNNNNNNNNNNNNNNNNNNNNNNNNNNNNNNNNNNNNNNNNNNNNNNNNNNNNNNNNNNNNNNNNNNNNNNNNNNNNNNNNNNNNNNNNNNNNNNNNNNNNNNNNNNNNNNNNNNNNNNNNNNNNNNNNNNNNNNNNNNNNNNNNNNNNNNNNNNNNNNNNNNNNNNNNNNNNNNNNNNNNNNNNNNNNNNNNNNNNNNNNNNNNNNNNNNNNNNNNNNNNNNNNNNNNNNNNNNNNNNNNNNNNNNNNNNNNNNNNNNNNNNNNNNNNNNNNNNNNNNNNNNNNNNNNNNNNNNNNNNNNNNNNNNNNNNNNNNNNNNNNNNNNNNNNNNNNNNNNNNNNNNNNNNNNNNNNNNNNNNNNNNNNNNNNNNNNNNNNNNNNNNNNNNNNNNNNNNNNNNNNNNNNNNNNNNNNNNNNNNNNNNNNNNNNNNNNNNNNNNNNNNNNNNNNNNNNNNNNNNNNNNNNNNNNNNNNNNNNNNNNNNNNNNNNNNNNNNNNNNNNNNNNNNNNNNNNNNNNNNNNNNNNNNNNNNNNNNNNGGCGGGGUCGCGUCGAGGCGGCGGGGCAGCAUCGAGGUGGCGGGGCAGCGGCAUCGGGUUAGGUUUGGGCGGACGGCGCGGGUUCGAGGGGGAGGAAGGGGAGAGGGAGGCGGCGGGGGCGCGUGGGCGGCUGCGGCGCAGUGGGUCAGGGCAGCGGCGGCGACGGCGGUGGAUCGAGCUAGGGAGAGGGAACUGGCGAGGGGAGAGGGAAGGGGGGAUCGGGCGAAUGGGGAGAGGGAAGGGGGGAUCGGGCACAAUACUAAUGGCGCACCACCCCUUGGUGCGCCAUAAGUACAUCCAUACUAAUGGCGCACCUCACCGUGGUGCGCCAUUAGUAUUUUUUUUUAAUUUCAACUCGAGCCAACAGGUUAUGUACCACCAGAACUGAUCCACAUCAAGUCCCCUCUACUAGUUCGACUGGUUAGCAGCCAGUUCUCACACCAGGAGGUCCUGGGUUCGACUCCCAGGCUCCACAAAUUUUUUUUAGCAUUUAAAAAGCUUUUUGAUACUUAUUUGUGUUUAAAUAUGUUCAAACUUGUUUAAAUCAUAACAGUAAUAUUUUUUUUAUAAGACAGUAAUAAUUUUUUAAAAAAUAUCAUCAAACAGUAAUGCCGGUGGAGCGGGGGAGGGUGCGCGGGGUGCGGGGGGUCGGCGGCGGCGGUUGAGUAGGGGAAUCGAGGGUGCGGGGGGUCGGCGGCGGACCGGAUCCGGCGAGGUGGGAUAGCGAUCGAGAUGGAGGGGGAUCGAGAUCGAGUGUCCAUGAAAUUUAAAAAUAUUCAUGAUAGUUCAAAAAGUACCCAUGAAAUACAAUCGAGAAAUGAAGGCUACGAUUUAAAUACAAUCGAUCUUAGCUAGCUAUCUGUUCACAAUCUUCUUGCCCUUCUUUUUUGCAAAUGGAGUUCUUCUGUGGAACGGAGGUCCUUUAGGUAGGGUGGUCCCGCUUCUUCUUGUGGUGUAUGCUGCUACUUCAUCAUCGUCGUCAUGUUCGAUCCUCGGGUCGCCGUACUUGUCGAAGUCUUGCUCAUUGGCUACUCCAUCCAUUCUGAUGAUCUUCCUUUUGCCUCUCGUCACGACAACACGACUGGGCUUUGGCGGGUCGGUAAUGAAGAAGCAUUGGUCCACUUGGGAAGCCAGUACCCAUGGCUCAUUUUUCGCGGUGACGUUUGCGCCCGCGGUCUUGGAUUUGGCUUCGGGUAUAACCAUGGUGGUGAAAUACCGGUCUUCUUUUAUGACGUUCUUGGCCCAUCUGACACGGAACAUCGGGACCUUCUCUCCAGCGUAGCUUAGCUCCCAGAUCUCCUCGAUCCUUCCGUAGUAUCUGUCCUUGUCGUUACCGGUGUAGGAUUCCAUCGUUACCCCGGAGUUCUGAUAACCAUCGCUCUUCAUGUCCUUGGCCUCGGUGUAGAAUGUGUAGCCGUUGAUAUCGUACGCCUCAUAGGUCAUCAGGUUGUGCUCGGCGCCCUGUGACAAGGCGAAUAUGAGUUGUUCUUCCGCGGAAGAAUCCUCAUGUAAAGGGUACGACAGAAGCUUCUGCUUGAACCAACGCGUGAAACAUGAGUUGUGCUCUUUGAGUAUAUCUCCGUCCGUCCUCUGUUGGCCUCGGUCAUUGUACGUCUUCUUAAUAAAGGUUUUGGGCUCUACCACCCAAGGAUCGACCACGUCUAUGUGUUGUAGCGCGACUAGGUUUGCUCUUUCAAAGUCGGCGAGUCGACCUUCGAAGUCGACAUGCAUUUCGCGGUGACCCUCACGGUGACCCCAUCCAGCGAGCCUGCCGAGGUGCCUGUUGACGGGCAGACCAACGGGGUUCUCGAUGCCUAGAUAAUUCGUGCAGUAGGAGAUGCACUCUUCGGUCAGAAAGCCCCUGGCUAUGCUUCCCUCUGGAUGUGACAUGUUGCGAACGUAUCCUUUGAUGACACCAUUCAUCCUUUCGAACGGCAUCAUGCUGUGCAGGAACGUCAGCCCGAGUUGGAUGAUAUCCUCCACUAUAUGGACCAGCAGAUGCACCAUAACGUCGAAGAAUGCGGGCGGGAAGUACAUCUCAAGCUCGCAUAGUAUCACCACGAUCUCUUCCUGUAGCCUUCUGAGUUGCCUCACACCAAUCGACUUCCGAGAGAUGACGUCGAAGAAGUUGCAUAGGCCAAAUAGCGUUUCACGGAUGUGCGCGUCCAUGAUCCCACAGAUUGCAACUGGAAGUAUCUGCAUCAUCAGCACGUGACAGUCGUGAGACUUCAUCCCGCUGAACUUCUGCUUCGCUGGGUCUAGGUAUCUGCUUAUCUUCCCUGCGUAACCGUAAGGAAGUUUUACUCCUAGGAGGCAGGUGAAAAACUGCUCGAUCUCCUCCUGACUUAGAGUGAAGCACGCGGGAGGGUAGUCAUUUCCGGUCUUCUUGGCCUUUUUGCCUUAGCGACGACUUCCUGUGUCCUGCUUCGCCUCAUCAUCAUCAUCAUCAUCAUCAUCAUCAUCAUAUAUAGCGUGAAGCUCCUGCCUGAUGCCCAUUGAUUUCAAGUCUGCCCUUGCUUUCGGCCCAUCUUUGGUCCUCUCUGGCAUGUUGAGCAGGGUACCAAGCAGACUCUCGCACACAUUCUUCGUGAUAUGCAUGACAUCAAGGCUGUGAGGCACACGGUGGAUCUUCCAGUACGGCAAGUCCCAGAAAACAGACCUCGUUUUCCAUACCUUCAGCAGCGGCUCUGGCGCCUUUUGCUUCUUUCCCGGCAGUGGGCAGUCUUUCCAAUUUUUCAAGAGCUCGUCUAUUUCCUCGCCGCUCCUCGUACACGGGCAUUUUCGGGGUUCGGUUUCACCAUCGAACAGAUCCUUGCGUUUCCUCCACGGGUCAUCGUCGCGAAGCCACCUUCGAUGUCCCAUGAACACGGUUUUCGAAGACCCGGGUUCUCUAUCUAGCUGGCGAUACGUUGUGUCAUCCAUGCACCUUACGCAUCCAGAAAAUCCGUGGACUACCUGCCCCGCAAGAUAUCCGUAACCGAGAUAGUCGUGCACCAUCGUGAGCAGUGCGGCUCUCAUAGGGAAAUAUUCUUUCUCUGCGGCAUCCCACGUAUUGGCUGGCGUUUUCCACAGCGUGUCAAUCUCCUCUUUCAGCAGCCCCAGAUACAGAUUGAUGUCGUUCCCUGGUUGUUUCGGCCCUUCAAUUAGCAUACUCAUGUGAAUGUACUUCCUCUUCAUGCACAACCAGGGGGGAAGGUUGUACAUCCACACGAACACAGGCCAGGUGCUAUGUGUGCUUCUCUGGCUGCCAAACGGAUUGACUCCAUCGGUGCUCGCGCCCAGCACGAUGUUCCUUGGAUCAUUCCCAAAUUCUGGGUAUUCUAAGUUCAACGCUUGCCACUGGCUCGCAUCCUUAGGGUGACUCAGCAUCUUGUCUUUUUUAUCUAUCUCCGGAUCAUUUGCGUCAUCUUCUCGCUUCUUCUCCUCCCUAUCCGCGUGCCAACGCAGGAGCUUUGCUACCUUAGGGUCCGCGAAAUACCACUGCAGACGAGGAGUGAUCGGAAAGUACCACACCACUUUUCGAGGAGCUUUCUUCCUCUUCUUGUAUCGAGUGACACCGCAUACCGGACAUAUGGUAGACUCCGCGUGCUCGUCCCGAUAAAUGAUGCAAUUGUUCAUGCACACAUGGUAUUUCACGUGCGGUAAAUCCAGAGGACACACGAUUUUCUUUGCCUCCUCCAAACUGGUCGGGCACUUGUUCCCCUUGGGAAGACGUUCGUGCCAGAAUGACAUGUUCUCGUCGAAGCAUGCGUCGGUCAUUUUGUGUUUUACCUUCAUCUCCAGAGCCAUGAGCGUUACUUUCAGGCGGGUAUCCUCGGGCCUGCAUCCUUCAUACAAUGGAGUAACCGCGUCUAACUCAACUUGAUCCAUCUUGGCUUUCUCUCGGGCGGCAGCUCUUGCCUUAUCCGUCUGCUUGAGAAGCAGCUCUUGAAUAUGAGGGUCCUGCACCCAGCCCAUCGAUGGUCCAGCGUCAUCUGCUCCGCCGGCAUCAUCAUCAUGUCCUACAUCUUCUACAUGAUGACUGUGUACAGCAUCACCGUCGUGAUCAUCUCCUAGGGAUUCUUCGUCUUCUCGCCCCCUGAGCCGCGGUGGUUGUCUUGCUGCCCUUCCUCAUUUCUUGCCCGGCCCCCAUGGAUGACUUCGUAGUCAUCUUCAUCAGCUUGCCACCGAUAGCCAUCCAUGAAACCACGCAAGAGCAGGUGGUCCCGCACCUGCCCGAAAUCCGGGUCCGCAAUAAGGCUAUUCAGCUUGCAUCUUCGACACGGACAUCUUAUCUCCGUCUCGUUCUUUUGAUGCAUCUCGGCCUUCGCGGACCUGAAAAACCUAUUCAUGAUGCCUUUCCCUAAAAAUUUGGCGGACCAUGGUCGCCUGCGGGGUAUUGCAAAACGAUAUUUUAGAACCAAGAAAAAAUUUGGCAUGACUUUCCCUAAAAAUAGGACCAAAAAGAAUGCUUAAUGCCAAAAUUCUCGCUGAAACGGAAAUGAAUCAACAUUCCGGCAAAAUAUUGGCAACUAUCGCAUUUCAAAUACCGGUACACCUCCAAACACAAACACAUAUGAAACACCACAAACAUAUGCAACACCACGAACAUACAUAGAUCUAGCUAGGCCAUAAAAAGUGCAUGUGCACAUUGUUGUAGGGAGAACAACAUAAAUAUAGCUUCCCCCCUUACUUACCUAGCAAAACAAGGUAACGUAACCACUUAGUUUGAAUGAAUCUAUGGUGGAAAUGAGGUGAAAAAGAGGAGGCACCCGAGACAAGGAGGAGGCGGUGGAGAGAAUGAAGUGGGGAGAAAGUGAGUGUGGGAGGAGAGGCUGUCCAAAAUAUCUUAUUGCUGCCCACUUACUAAUGGCGCACCAGCAACAAAUGCGCCAUUAGUAAUCCAGGUUACUAAUGGCGCACCCCCUGGUGGUGCGCCAUUAGUACUUUUGCAAAAAAAGGAAUGAAAACAAUAAUAAAAAAAAUAACAGUAGUGGUGCACCUUCUGGCUGGUGCGCCAUUACUAGUUACAACUAGUAAUGGCGCACCACCAGUGGAUGCGCCAUUAGUAUGUUUGGACAGGCGCACUAGUUCAAAAAAAAUUUGGUACUAAUGGCGCACCGUGGGCAGGGUGCGCCAUUAGUAGUUUCAACACUAAUGGCGCAUCAGAAGGUGGUGCGCCAUUAGUAUAUACUAAUGGCGCACCACAUGUCUGGUGCGCCAUUAGUGUCAUUUCCAUCUAUAGCCCUUUUCCUAGUAGUGCUAGUUGGGGCCAAACGAGAGAAGUUUGAUGUUUACUGGUUUAUUUGUCCCCUUUGCAUUUUGCGCCAAGUUUUGACCUUUGAUUUAACUAAUAAAAUGUUAAUGCAUGUAAACAAAAAUGUUGUGUAAGUCACCUUACAAAAACCAAAUAAUCCGAAAACACUUAGGCACGGUGCAUUAACUCCCUCCUUAUUUCUUAUUUCGUGACAUAUCAACCAAUGAGAGAUGUGGGCUGUGCAUGCUUUCAAUGACUUGAGACUACCAAACAUGACAUGCAUUGUUUAGUUCAUUGCAUGUAAUCCUAUUACUCUAGUUACCAAAAAGACAUUAAGUUCUCUCGCCAAUAGGAAUAAAACACCAUGUAUUUAUUUACAGAGGGAGUAGUACAUUUUUUGUGACAUGCAUUACUAGAUAUUGCUAGUCAAAUACUAAAAUCCAGAUGGACGUGGUAGUACUCCUAAAUCCAGACGGUGGUGCUACUAGUACUAGUAGUAGUACUACCAAUGUAGUAGGAGUACUAGCACUGUACUACCCGUUGGUCAAAUUAUUACGUGCUGCUCCUCACAGUGAAGUGACAAGACCCUGCGCCGGAGAUGACACCUGAGUAUAGCCGCCGUGUUCGGCAUACCAUAGUCAGCCUCACCGUCUACAGUCACUAUAAUCAUGGCUGUAGAGCUACCCUGCUUACAACUAGCCUUGUUCGACAUAAUUUCCCGUGUGUAGAUGCCCGUGCAUUGCACGGAACACCAAGAUUGGGGGUGGACGGCGCCGACAGCGGCCAUCGCGCCAGAUUUUUCCACGGCCCUCUAGAUGUGGUGGGGAGGAGAUAAGGCUGAUUGUGGGAGACAAGUGCUACCUCUUGAGCACUGCGUUGGAUUUCCCCGAAGAGGAGAGGAUGAUGUAGUAAAGUAGUGUAAGUAUUUCCCUCAGUUUUUGUGAACCAAGGUAUCAAUCCAGUAGGAGAUCACGCACGAGUCCCUCGUACCUGCACAAAACGAUAGCUACUCGCAACCAACGUGAUUAGGGGUUGUCAAUCCCUUCACGGUCACUUACGAGGGUGCGAUCUGAUAGAGACGAUAAAUAAUAUUUUUUUGGUAUUAUUGAUAUAGAGAUGCAAAGUGAAAAGUAAAAGGCAAAGUAAAAACAAAGCAAGUAUUAAAGUAAUGGAGAUUGAUAUGAUGAGAAUAGACCCGGAGGCCAUAGGUUUCACUAGUGGCUUCUCUCAAGAGCAUAAGUAUUCUACGGUGGGUGAAGAAAUUACUGUUGAGCAAUUGAUAGAAUUGAGCAUAGCUAUGAGUAUAUCUAGGUAUGAUCAUGUGUAUAGGCAUCACGUCCGAGACAAGUAAACCAAAACGAUUCUGCAUAUACUACUAUUACUCCACUCAUCGACCGCUAUCCAACAUGCAUUUAGAGUAUUAAGUUAAAAACAGAGUAACGCCUUAAGCAAGAUGACAUGAUGUAGAUGGAUAAAUUCAUGCAAUAUGAUAAAAACCCCAUCUUGUGAUCCUCGAUGGCAACAAUACAAUACAUGCCUUGCUGCACCUUCUGUCACUGGGUAAGGACACCGCAAGAUUGAACCCAAAGCUAAGCACUUCUCCCAUUGCAAGAACUACCAAUCUAGUUGGCCAAACCAAACGGAUAAUUCAGAGAGACUUGCAAAGAUAACUCAAUCAUACAUAAAAGAAUUCAGAGAAGAUUCAAAUAUUAUUCAUAGAUAAGCUGGAUCACAAACCCACAAUUCAUCGGUCUCAACAAACACACCACAAAAAUAAGAUUACAUCGAAUAGAUCUCCACAAGAAAGGGGGAGAACAUUGUAUUGAGAUCCAAAAAUAGAGAAGAAGCCAUCUAGCUACUAACUAUGGACCCGAAGGUCUGAGGUAAACUACUCACACUUCAUCAGAGAGGCUAUGGUGUUGAUGUAGAAGCCCUCCGUGGUGGAUGCCCCCUCCCGCGGAGCUCCGGAACAGGCCCCAAGAUGGGAUCUCGUGGAUAGAGAAGGUUGCGGCGGUGGAAUUAUGUUUUUGGCUCCGUAUUUGAUAUGUCGGGGGUACGUAGGUAUAUAUAGGAGGAAGGAGUACGUCGGUGGAGCAACAGGGGGCCCACGAGGUAGGGGGCGCGCCUAGGGGGGAGGGCGCGCCCCCCACCCUCGUGACCGCCUCGGUUGUUCCUUGGAGCAGGGUCCAAGUCUCCUGGAUCACGUUCUGUGAGAAAAUCACGUUCCCGAAGGUUUCAUUCCAUUUGGACUCUGUUUGAUAUUCUCUUUCUUCGAAACACUGAAAUAGGCAAAAAAUAGCAAUUCUGGGUUGGGCCUCCAGUUAAUAGGUUAGUCCCAAAAAUAAUAUAAAAGUGGAAAAUAAAGCCCAAUAUAGUCCAAAACAGUAGAUAAAGUAGCAUGGAGCAAUCAAAAAUUAUAGAUACGUUGGAGACGUAUCAGGCAUCCCCAAGCUUAAUUCCUGCUCGUCCUCGAGUAGGUAAAUGAUAAAAAAGAAUUUUUGAUGCGGAGUGAAACUUUGGCAUAAUUUCAAUGUAAAUCUUCUUAAUUGUAGUAUGAAUAUUCAGAUCCGAAAGAUUCAAGACAAAAGUUCAUAUUAGAAUAAAAGUAAUAAUACUUCAAGCAUACUAAUCAAAGCAAUCAUGUCUGCUCAAAAUAGCAUGGCUAAAGAAAGUUAUCCCUACAACAUCAUAUAGUCCGCCUGUUGCCCUAUCUUCAUCGCACAAAGUAUUUAAUCAUGCACAACCCCGAUGAAAAGCCGAGCAAUUGUUUCAUACUUUAGUAAUCUCAAACUCUUUCAACUUUCACGCAAUACAUGAGCGUGAGCCAUGGACAUAACACUAUAUGUGGAAUAGAAUGGUGGUUGUGGAGAAGACAAAAAGGAGAAGAUAGUCUCACAUCAACUAGGCGUAUCAACGGGCUAUGGAGAUGCCCGUUAAUAGAUACCAAUGUGAGUGAGUAGGGAUUGCCAUGCAACGGAUGCACUAGAGCUAUAAAUAUAUGAAAGCUCAACAAAAGAAACUCUCUAAUGAAAAAUUCCCACUAGUAUAUGAAAGUGACAACAUAUGAGACUCUCUAAUAUGAAGAUCAUGGUGCUACUUUGAAGCACAAGUGUGGUAAAAGGAUAGUAGCAUUGUCCCUUCUCUCUUUUUCUCUCAUAUUUUUUUUAUUUGGGCCUUUUCUUUUUUUUAUGGCCUUUUUUUCGUCCGGAGUCUCAUCCCGACUUAUGGGGGAAUCAUAGUCUCCAUCAUCCUUUCCUCACUGGGUCAAUGCUCUAAUAAGGAUGAUCAUCACACUUUCAUUUUUCUUACAACUCAAAUUACAACUCGAUACUUAGAACAAAAUAUGACUCUAUAUGAAUGCCUUCGGCGGUGUACCGGGAUAUGCAAUGAAUCAAGAGUGACAUGUAUGAAAGAAUUACGAAUGGUGGCUUUGCCACAAAUACAAUGUCAACUACAUGUUCAUGCAAAAAGAAAUAUGGCAAAAGUAAUGUGUGUCAUAUGAACGGAACGGUGGAAAGUUGCAUGGCAAUAUAUCUCGGAAUGGCUAUGGAAAUGCCAUGAUAGGUAGGUAUGGUGGAUGUUCUGAGGAAGGUAUAUGGUGGGUGUAUGAUACUGGCGAAAAGUGCACGGUAUUAAAGAGCCUAGAAAUGGUGGAAGGGUGAAAGGGUGCGUAUAAUCCAUGGACUCAACAUUAAUCAAAAGAACUCAUGCACUUGUUGCAAAAAUGUAGAAGUCAUCAAAAACCAAAGCACUGCAUGCAUGCUCCUAGGGGGAUAGAUUGGUAGGAAAAUACCAUCGCUCGUCCCCGACCGCCACUCAUAAGGAAGGCAAUCAAUAAAUAAAAUUGUGCUCCAACUUCAUCACAAAGCGGUUCACCAUACGUGCAUGCUACCGGAAUCACAAACUUCAACACAAGCAUUCUUUAAAUUCAUAAUCACCCCAACUAGCAUUACUUUGAUAUUAUCACCUCCAUAUCUCAAAACAAUUGUCAUGCAUCAAACUUAUCUUAGUAUUCAACGUACUCAAAAGAAAGUUUCACAUAUCUUGAAUACCAAGUGUAUUAACAUUAAGCAAAUUACCAUGCUAUUAACGACUCUCAAAAUAAUCUAAGUGAAGCAUGAGAGAUCAAUAGUUUCUUUAAAAAAAUCCACCACCGUGCUCUAAAAGAUCUAAGUGAAGCACAAGAGCAAAAAUUAUUAUGCUCAAAAGAUAUAAGUGAAGCACCAUGAGCAAAACUUUCAAGCUCAAAAGAUAUAAGUGAAGCAUAUAGAGUAUUCUAGCAAAUUCCAAUUUGUGUAUGGCUCUCUCAAAAGGUGUGUACAGCAAGGAUGAUUGUGGUAAACUGACAAGCAAAGACGCAAAUAAUACAAGACGCUCCAAUCAAAACACAUAACAUGUGGUGAAUAAAAAUAUAGCUCCAAGUAAAUUACCGAUGGAAGUAGACGAAAGAGGGGAUGCCUUCCGGGGCAUCCCCAAGCUUUGACUUUUUGGUGUCCUUGGAUUAUCUUGGGGGUUCCAUGGGCAUCCCCAAGCUUAGGCUCUUUCCACUCCUUGUUCCAUAAUCCAUCAAAAGAAUUCACCCAGAACUUGAAAACUUCACAACACAAAACUCAAUAGAAAUCUCGUGAGCUCCGUUAGUGAAAGAAAAUAAAAGACUACUUUAAGGUACUGUAAUGAACUCAUUCUUUAUUUAUAUUGGUGUUAAACCUACUGUAUUCCAACUUCCUUAUGGUCUAUAACUAAACUAAUUUAUUAGCCAUAGAUGCAUUGAAAUAAGCAAACAACACACAAAAAACACAAUCUGUCAAAAACAGAAUAGUCUGUAGAAAUCUGUAACUAACGCAAACUUCUGGAACUCUAAAAAUCCUAAUAAAAUAGGACGUACUGGAAAAUUUGUUUACUGAUCAGCAGCAAAAAGAAUCAAUGCAAAAUCACGUUUCUGUGAUUUAUUGAUUUUUUUCUCGUGAGCGCAAAUUUUCUGUUUUUCAGCAGAAUCAAAUCAACUAUCAUCGUAGGUUAUCCUAUAGGUUCUACUUGGCACAAACACUAAACAUAAGAUAAAAACACAGAAGAAAAAAAAUAAAAUUGGGUUGCCUCCCAACAAGCGCUAUCGUUUAACGCCCCUAGCUAGGCAUAAAUAAUUUUGAUGAUGCUCACAUGAAAGACAAGAAUUGAAGCGCAAAGAGAGCAUCAUGAAACACGUGACAAACACAUCUAAGUCUAACAUACUUCCUAUGCAUAGGCAUCUUAUAGGAAAAGAAAUUAUCAUAGCAAGCAAAAACUAGCAUAUGCAAGGAAGCGGAAAGAAACACUAGCAAUCUCAACAUCAAGAGAGGUAAUUUAGUAACAUGAAAAUUUCUACGACCAUAUUUUCCUCUCUCAUAAUAAUUACAUGUAGGAUCAUAGGCAAAUUCAACAAUAUAGCUAUCACAAAACAUAUCCUUAACACGAUCCACAUGUAUGCAAAGUUGACACUCUUCCAAAAUAGUGGGAUUAACAUUAACUAAAGUAAUGACCUCUCCAAACCCACUUUUCUCAAAAAUUUCAUAAGAUUGAACAUUCUCCAAAUAUGUGGGAUCUAAAGUUGACACUCUUCUGAACCCACUUUCAAUAUUGCAAACACUAUUAUCAAUCUCAUAUUCAUUAAGCGGCUUAAAUAAAUUUUCAAGAACAUAAGAAGAAUCACCCCAAUCAUGAUCAUUGCAACAAGUAGUAAACAUAGCAAAACUAGCAUCCCCAAGCUUAGGGUUUUGCAUAUUAUUAGCACAAUUGACAUCAAGAGAAUUUAUAGUAAAAUUAUUACAAUCAAGGUUUUCAUCGAAGGAACUACCAUGUAUGGGUGCAAUCGCAAUGAUCUCAUGUUUAACACAAGGAACUAUUGCAAAUUCAUAUUCAUAAAUAUUGGCAUCAUGGCCACAAGGAUAGUAAGCAUCAUGUUCAUCAAGGGAUAUUUAAAUCAAAUCAUCGGAAUCAUCAUUAUCUAUAGAUUCAUGCAUAUCAUUAUUUUAUUCCAAAGCAACGGUCAUUCUUUCAAUAAAUUCUUGGACAUAGACAUUAUGAGCAAGGUUUUCAUUGCAAUAUUUAAGUAUGAUGGAAUUUUCAGAUUUGUUGAGAGUAAAAUCAUAAUUUUCAAUCAAAGAAGCAACUUCAUGAGCACCUUUAAAAACGACAAAUUCAUCAAUUUGUUCGAUAUCAUAGUAACUAUAAACACCCUUUGCAUAAGAAGAUAAGAUUUCAUUAUCAUUGAACUCACAUAGGUAGGGAAGGUGUUUUUUAGGUUUCUUAGAGCAACAAGUAAAAUCACACAUUUCACAAAGAUUCCAAGCAUCGCAUAGCAAACUAUUUAUAUGAUACUGUAAGAGUCUCCCUUUUUCAGAUAAACGAUGACACACAAAAUGAGCAUGCUCAUCUAAAGAUUUCCCAUCAACUAGGCUAGUUGGGGUUUCAGCACGAGCGCAUAAGGAUCGAAGAUGAUCCCAGUAGAACACUUUAAGUGGAUCCAUAUCAAUAGAUUUUUACAAGCAAAGAUGCAAGCAUAUAGAAGGCACAAGGAAACACAAACAAAGAUUCAUAUGGGAAGAAGGCGAACGAAAAAGAGAGGGCGAAUAAAACAGCAAGGGUGAAGUGGGGGAGAGGAAAACGAGAGGCAAAUAAUGUAAUGCGAGAGAUAGGGAUUGUGAUGGGUACUUGGUAUGGUUGACUUUUGCACAAACUCCCUGGCAACGGCGCCAGAAAUUCUUCUUGCUACCUCUUGAGCAUUGCGUUGUAUUUCCCCGAAGAGGAGAGGAAGAUGUAGUAAAGUAGCAUAAGUAUUUCCCUCAGUUUUUGAGAACCAAGUUAUCAAUCCAGUAGGAGAUCACGCACGAGUCCCUCGUACCUGCACAAAACGAUAGCUACUCGCAACCAACGCGAUUAGGGGUUGUCCAUCCCUUCACGGUCACUUAUGAGGGUGAGAUCUGAUAGAGAUGAUAAAUAAUAUUUUUUUGGUAUUUUUUAUAUAGAGAUGCAAAGUGAAAAGUAAAAGGCAAAGUAAAAACAAAGAAAGUAUUAAAGUAAUGGAGAUUGAUAUGAUGAGAAUAGACCCGGAGGCCAUAGGUUUCACUAGUGGCUUCUCUCAAGAGCAUAAGUAUUCUACGGUGGGUGAAUAAAUUACUGUUGAACAAUUGAUAGAAUUGAGCAUAGUUAUGAGUAUAUCUUGGUAUGAUCAUGUGUAUAGGCAUCACGUCCGAGACAAGUAAACCGAAACGAUUCUGCAUCUACUACUAUUACUCCACUCAUCGACCGCUAUCCAGCAUGCAUCUAGAGUAUUAAGUUAAAAACAGAGUAACGCCUUAAGCAAGAUGACAUGAUGUAGAGGGAUAAAUUCAUGCAAUAUGAUAAAAACCCAUCUUGUUAUCCUCGAUGGCAACAAUACAAUACGUGCCUUGCUGCCCCUUCUGUCACUGGGUAAAGACACCGCAAGAUUGAACCCAAAGCUCAGCACUUCUCCCAUUGCAAGAACUACCAAUCUAGUUGGCCAAACCAAACGGAUAAUUCGAAGAGACUUGCAAAGAUAACUCAAUCAUACUUAAAAGAAUUCAGAGAAGAUUCAAAUAUUAUUCAUAGAUAAGCUGGAUCAUAAACCCACAAUUCAUCGGUCUCAACAAACACACUGCAAAAAGAAGAUUACAUCGAAUAGAUCUCCACACGAGAGGGGGAGAACAUUGUAUUAAGAUAAAAAAAGAGAGAAGAAGCCAUAUAGCUACUAACUAUGGACCCGAAGGUCUAAGGUAAACUACUCACACUUCAUCGGAGAGGCUAUGGUGUUGAUGUAGAAGCCCUCCAUGGUGGAUGCCCCCUCCGGCGGAGCUCCGGAACAGGCCCCAAGAUGGGAUCUCGUGGAUACAGAAGGUUGCAGCGGUGGAAUUAGGUUUUUGGCUCCGUAUUUGAUCUAUCGGGGGUACGUAGGUAUAUAUAGGAGGAAGGAGUACGUCGGCGGAGCAACAGGGGGCCCACGAGGUAGGGGGCGCGCCCAGGGGGGAGGGCGCGCCCCCACCCUCGUGACCGCCUCGGUUGUUCCUUGGAGCAGGGUCCAAGUCUCCUGGAUCACGUUUGGUGAGAAAAUCACGUUCCCGAAGGUUUCAUUCCGUUUGGACUCCGUUUGAUAUUCCGUUUCUUCGAAACACAGAAAUAGACAAAAAAACAACAAUUCUGGGCUGGGCCCCCGGUUAAUAGGUUAGUCCCAAAAAUAAUAUAAAAGUGGAAAAUAAAGCUCAAUAUAGUCCAAAACAGUAGAUAAAGUAGCAUGGAGCAAUCAAAAAUUAUAGAUACGUUGGAGACGUAUCAACAAGGAGUUGUUUGUAAAUAGGGAACAAGUGCGGGCAUAUUUUUGCAAAGAUGGAGAAGCUUGGUUUGUAUGCGUCAGAUCUAGAUCCGAUUUCUAUUGGUGAAAGAUGGGAGGCACAACAUCAUCACCAACUCAGGACCUGUUUGAUUCGCAGGAUUUUCAAAACGCAGUAAUAGGACACGGCAAUAUUACAAGUUUCAAACUGAUAUUACAAAUGUUAGGAGUAAUGUUGCACCUACGAAGGGGGAAUUACUAGGAAGUUUACGUAAGAACUUUCGUUACUUUAGGUGGAUGCAACAUUAUCGUACAAACUAAAAUCCACCACCCUGACAAGUCACUAAUGGGCAAAUAAGUUUUCGAGUCUCUGGUGACUUGAUGUUUCAAAAACAAAUUCAACUUUUGCGGAGACUUUGUUAUUUAGGCUUAGACGCUUGCGGUGAUCAGCACGCCAUUCAUUGUUGCGCCAGAGAACACCAAACCUCAUUACCUUGAGCACACUUGCCUCCAGAACAAAGAACCUGGCCAAUUUAAUCUCAGAUGUGCUGCCUCGAUAGUUGAUCAAAUCAAUUUCUGUAAGAUGGAGAUCAAGGCAUUCGAUGAGAUUGUUAUAGUGCAGCACAUUUUUCACUUGCGGGUCUUUUUUUAUUUGCAAAAGAAGAGAACAUAUUAGAGCAGCUGGUUGUAUAAGGUUGCCGUGUCAUCAAGAGGUACCAAUAUCAUUUGCUCAUACGAUAGGGUUGGCUGGCUAGUGAUAUUUUUCCACUCUCUCUCUCUCUCUCUCUCUCUCUCUCUCUCUCUCUCUCUUUCUGUUUCCUCUCAUUUAACUAAGAGCACGUGAAGAUCUUAGGCAUUUGUUGCCUUCCACUAUGUGGCUGAUGCCAUAUUUCGCAAAAGUAUGCCAAAUAAUACGCAUCAAUGUCAAAUCAAAAGAUUUUGGCACCGCUCUCGCGAUGUGAGAGAGUUGGCACCGUUGUGCACACAGACCCACAUGUAUAAACAAAUCAAUCAAACCAACUACACCAGCCUCUCACUCUCCCAAACAAGUGUUUUUUCUUACCUCAGUCCUCUCUCUCUCCCACGCAGUGUUUUUUCAUUGCGUGAGUUAAUUUGGCACCGGAGCAAAGUAGGUGAUCCAUAUUGGGGCACCAGGUGAGCAAUGGAGGGGCAUCGAUGCCAAAUGCAUCACAAGUGAAUUUGGCACGUGUUUUGGCCUACAUAGCCCACUUUUAUACUCCCUCCAUCCCAAAAUUCUUGUCUUAAAUUUGUCUAAAUACGGAUGCAUCUAGUUACAUUUUAGUGUUAGAUACAUCCAUAUCUAAACAAAUGUAAGACAAGAAUUUUGGGACGGAGGGAAUACUACCUCGUAUUUAGUAUAAAAGUUUGACCAUAGAUUUACCUAAGAAAAUACCAAUGCAUGUCACUAAAAAUCACACAUUUGGAAUUAUGUUCAAAUACGAAUCCAACGAUAUAGUUCUUAGUGACAUGCAUUAACAUUUUGUCAGUUAAAUCUAUGGUCAAAUUUUGAUACUACAAAAUUGGAAGAGUAAACCAGGACGGAGGUAGUACUUGCUCUUAGGGUAACCAUAGAGUUACGGGAGUAGUCUAAGUUACUUUCCACUAUGAGUAGCAUAGGCUACUAUAGUAGUAAAGCAUAAAAAUGAUGCAGGUGAUCACAUGAGAAAAAAAAUAUUAAAAACAUUUCUUUCGAUACAGUGCGUAGAUGCAGUUUUGAACACUACACUUGUCAUCAUAAUUUGGGAAAAUUAAGGAAAAAAUUGAGCUACGUUGUGAUUACCGUUUACUUAUAGGAAAGAAGUUUCACCUUCAUGAGUAGUUUCUCCGUGCACGGAAAGCAUGUAAGGAAUCCAACAACUUGAUCCAGAUUGGGGCCGAUAGAUUUUAGUGCCAAGAUCUUCACUGUGCGCGUGGACUGGGUCAAGCUUCUGGGAAUCAUUUUCUGGAAGACGGUCGUAAAUACAUCAAGAAGAAAUUUAAAAAUGUCAAUUUUAAGAAGACGGAGAAGAAGGUGAGUGUUGUACCUAAACGAUUACGGAUCCAAUAAAGAGUUUGGAGAAUUUGGAAGAUGAGUACACCAACGCUGUCAAUUUUGGCGCGUCAAUGACCCUGAUUUUUGUUGGACCUUCUAGAUCCGAUAAAAGCAAUCUCUCAAAGAAAGGCGCAUUCUCAAUGACCAUAACGUGGAACAACUGGAGUGAUCUCUUUCCAAUUGACGUCUUGUUGCAGGGCCAGCAAGACACAUAAAUCCAUCGGAGAUUCAUCGAGGCGAUGUGGAGGCUAAUGAACCCAUGGAUCUGCUCAAGACGAAGGUACUCAAGCGCAGUAUAGCUGCGGAGCAGGUGCUCCAUAGCCUUCUUCGAGAUGACAGCAUCGAAGAGGUCGAGCUGCUUGAGUUGAGGGAGAAGAAGGGUGGGCGCGACAUUAAUCUGGGGAAGAUAACAGGAGCUGAAGCUGGCGCGGUGCAGCGUUGGCGUGAGGCGGAGCGCGGACGGCGGCAGAGAGCGACAUUGUCCAGCUUCAAAUCUAAGCUCCUCGAGCUGAUCUAGGGCGGGGGAUAAGAACCACUCAUCGAACUUGGGUUGGACCUUGCAGUUGGUACUGAACAUGCAGAUGUCAAGGCGUCUAGCUGGCCCAGGGUGCGAUGAAAGGAUCUUAGAGAGUGCGGCCAUGCGUUUGCAAUCCCCAUCGCAGAGGCAGCUGUCGAUGGUGAGGUUGAGGGGGAUGCAGCGCCAGAGGGGGCGCCACCACCGGGAGAGCAGGGCGGUCCGCAUGGCAGAUUUGGUGGGGAGGAGGCCGAUGAUGACGAGCAGCAUGUCAUCGGGGAGGCUGCUGAUGAAGUGCAGGCUCACCGGAUGCGGUUUUGGCUCGAGCUGCCUCCGCUUGUUGGCUGCCUCGCCGUCCAUCUCAACCGGUGGCGACGCCGAUGUACACGUGUGUUGGUGUGUGUUGUGUGCUGGGUGUGCGCGAGUGCGUCCUUCUGUGCAUGCCGCCGCGAAGUGGUGAAUUGUGCGCGAGUGCGUCCUUCACACGCAAGAAGUGUGUCCUCAAUGCGCCAUUAAUUUACUAGCGAGCGGGGUGCUACCCCAAGUUGUUUCAACUUUGUUUUUUCACCGCGUGUCAGAUGGGCCUCUUGUUUACUUAUUUUCACCCACUGCCACAUGGGCGAGCACACGAAGAUACAGAACACGAGCUGACAAGGAAGCAUGUGGAUUGGUUGAAUGGUGAACUAAACAAUAUAUGGAGCUAUUUUCUGACACAGUGAGCAUAUAAUCCGUCGGUAUAGAGAGUUUGAGUGAGAGGGGAGGCCCGUGAAGAUAGCAGAGAGAGAGAGAGAGAGAGAGAGAGAAAGCUACUCCCUCCAUUCGAUAAUGUAGUUCCAACAUUUUUUUUAAUGUCAAACUUUUGAAACUUUGACCAAGUUUAUAAAGAAAUUACUUAUAUCUUCAAUACCAAAGAUAAAUGAUACUAUGGAGUAAGUACAUGUUGUGAUGAAUCUAAUCAUCGUUCCAGAUGUAAAUGUUUUUCUCCACAUAUACCUGGUCAAACUUUUCUGAGGUUUGACUUUUCAAAACAUCCAUAUGCUUAUGGACGUCACUACUAGGAAAUGGGCUAUAGAUAGGACUGAUCCUAAUGGCGCACCAGGUAAGUAGUGCGCCACUACUAUAUACUAAUGGCGCACCGGUUGCUCGUGCGCCAUUAGUGUGGAAGACACUAAUGGCGCACCGUGCACGGUGCGCCACUACUAUUGAUUUUUUCCCCCAUUUUUCCAAACAAACUAAUGGCGCAUGGAUGGCAAAGUGCGCCAUUACUAGUUAGAACUAGUAAUGGCGCACGACCAAGCCAGUGCGCCAUUAGUAUAUAAUUUUUUUUUACUUUUUUGCAAACCUACUAAUGGCGCACUAUGCCAAAGUGCGCCAUUAGUAGUUUAAACUACUAUUGGCGCACUGUGCCACGGUGCGCCAUUAUCAUAAUUUUUUUUUACUUUUUUGCAAAACUACUAAUGGCGCAUGUCACUGUGGUGCGCCAUUAGUAUGUUGGGUUACUAAUGGCGCAUGGCUUAGUGGUGCGCCAUUAAUAACCUGGGACCAGCUAUAUAUUUUUGGACAACCACACCUACACACUCACUUUCCCCACUUCAUUCCCCCCACCUCCUUCCCUAAGCUUGUCGGCUGCCUCCUCCUCCUCACCUCAUUUGCACCAUAGAUUCAUCAAAAUUAAGUGGUGAAAUUACCUUUUUUGAUAGGUAAGUAAGGGGAAAGCUAUCUUCAUGUUGUAGAUCUACUUUUUUUCUCCCUAGCUCGCUCCAACAACGUGCACAUGCACUUUUUGUGGCCUGGCUAGAUCUAUGUAUGUUUGUGGUGUUUCUUGUGUUUGUGGUGUUGCAUAUAUGUUUGUGUUUGCAGGUACCGGUAUUUGAAAUGCGAUAGUUGCCAAUAUUUUGCCGGAAUGUUGAUUCAUUUCCGUUUUGGCGAGAAUUUUGGCACUAUGCAUUCUUUUUGGUCCUAUUUUUAGGGAAGGUCAUGCCAAAAAAUUUCUUGGUUCUAAAAUAUCGUUUUGCUCUACCCCGCAGGGGACCAUGGUCCGCACGAUGACCGAAGGCAUCGUGAAUAGGUUUUUGAGCUCCGCGAAGGCCGAGAUGCUUCAAAAGAACAAGACUGAGAUAAGAUGUCUGUGUCGAAGAUGCAAGCUGAAGAGCCUUAUUGCGGACCCGGAUUCCGGGCAGGUGCGGGACCACCUGCUCUUGCGUGGUUUCAUGGAUGGCUAUUGGUGGCAAGGUGAUGAAGAUGACUAUGAAGUCGUCCAUGGGGGCCGGGCAAGAAAUGAGGAAGGGCAACAAGACAACCACCGCGACGAGGGCGGGCGAGAAGACGAAGAAUCUCCAGGACAUGAUCACGACAGUGAUGAUGUACACAAUCAUCAUGUAGAAGAUGUCAUACAUGAUGAUGAGGAAGAUCAAGACGAAGGGCAUGAUCAUGAAGAUGAAGAUGCCGGAGCAGACGACGAUGGAGGCUGGGUGCAGGACCCUCAUAUUCAAGAGCUACUUCGCAAGCAGACGGAUAACGCAAGAGCUGCCACCCGAGAGAAAGCCAAGCUGGAUCAACUGGAGAUAGACGCGGUUACUCCAUGGUAUGAAGGAUGCAGGCCUGAGGAUACCCGCCUGAAAGUAACGCUCAUGGCUCUGGAGAUGAAGGUAAAACACAAAAUGACCGACGCAUGCUUCGACGAGAACAUGUCAUUCUGGCACGAACGUCUUCCCAAGGGGAACAAUUGCCCGACCAGUUUCGAGGAGGCGAAGAAAAUCGUGUGUCCUUUGGAUUUACCACACGUGAAAUACCAUGUGUGAAUGAACAAUUGCAUCAUUUAUCGGGACGAGCACGCGGAGUCUACCAUAUGUCCGGUGUGCGGCAUCACUCGAUACAAGAAGAGGAAGAAAGCUCCUCGAAAAUCAGUGUGGUACUUUCCGAUCACUCCUCGUCUGCAGCGGUAUUUCACGGACCCUAAGGUAGCGAAGCUCCUGCGUUGGCACGCGGAUAGGGAGGAGAAGAAGCGGGAAGAUGACGGAAAUGAUCCGGAGAUAAAUAAAAAAAGACAAGAUGCUGAGUCACCCUAAGGAUGCGAGCCAGUGGCAAGCGUUGAACUUCGAAUACCCAGAAUUUGGGACGGAUCCAAGGAACAUCGUGCUGGGCGCGAGCACCGAUGGAGUCAAUCCGUUUGGCAGCCAGAGAAGCACACAUAGCACCUGGCCUGUGUUUGUGUGGAUGUACAACCUUCCCCCCUGGUUGUGCAUGAAGAGGAAGUACAUUCACAUGAGUAUGCUAAUUGAAGGGCCGAAACAACCAGGGAACGACAUCAAUCUGUAUCAGGGGCUGCUGAAGGAGGAGCUAGACACACUGUGGAAAACGCCAGCCAAUACGUGGGACGCCGCAGAGAAAGAAUAUUUCCCUAUGAGAGCCGCACUACUCAUGACGGUGCACGACUAUCUCGGUUACGGAUAUCUCGCGGGGCAGGUAGUCCACGGAUUUUCUGGAUGCGUAAGGUGCAUGGAUGACACAACGUAUCGCCAGCUAGAUAGAGAUCCCGGGUCUUCGAAAACCGUGUUCAUGGGACAUCGAAGGUGGCUUCGCGACGAUGACCCAUGGAGGAAACGCAAGGAUCUGUUCGAUGGUGAAACCAAACCCCGAAAAUGCCCGUGUACAAGGAGCGGCGAGGAAAUAGACGAGCUGUUGAAAAAUUGGAAAGACUGCCCACUGCCGGGAAAAAAGGCGCCAGAGCCGGGAAAAAAGCGAAAGGCGCCAGAGCCGCUGCUGAAGGUAUGGAAAACGAGGUCUGUUUUCUGGGACUUGCCGUACUGGAAGAUCCACCGUGUGCCUCACAGCCUUGAUGUCAUGCAUAUCACGAAGAACGUGUGCGAGAGUCUGGUUGGUACCCUACUCAACAUGCCAGAGAUGACCAAAGAUGGGCCGAAAGCAAGGGCAGACUUGAAAUCAAUGGGCAUCAGGCAGGAGCUUCACGCUAAUGAUGAUGAUGAUGAUGAUGAUGAUGAUGAUGAUGAUGAUGAGGCGAAGCAGGACACAGAAAGUCGUCGCAAAGGCAAAAAGGCCAAGAAGACCGGAAAUGACUACCCUCCCGCGUGCUUCACUCUAAGUCAGGAGGAGAUCGAGCAGUUUUUCACCUGCCUCCUAGGAGUAAAACUUCCUUACGGUUACGCGGGGAAGAUAAGCAGAUACCUAGACCCAGCGAAGCAGAAGUUCAGCGGGAUGAAGUCUCACGACUGUCACGUGCUGAUGACGCAGAUACACUAAGAACCUUAGGCAUAAGGACCGAGGGAAUUUGCGCAGCCUCCUCUUCACGAAGCUGCACGAAGGGUACAAGUUCCCCGCCGAAUUUGAAAACACACGCCUCUCAGGGAAUAAAGUGAACAGUGCCGCCCUUUCUACUUGGAGAAGCGCGAUGAAGAGAAUGAUUGAUAAAGGUGAUAGUUAUGACAAGAUCAAGGCGAAAUAUCCUUUGAUGAGCAAAGAUCACUACAAGGAGUUCAAGAUAAAGUGCGAGAGCAGUGAAACCACCGAAUCAAGUCAGUGGGGGAAAGAAAUGCGGGAGUUGAACUUAGGGGAACACAAACUCGGUCCCAGCGGUUACAGAGUGGCGGAGCCUAUAUGGGACAAGGAGGACGCGGAGCGUGCCGAGCAAGGCCUACCGCCCCGCUUCGAGAAAUACAGCGGUAACAAGCAGACCAGGAACUAUGUCAGGGCCCGGUACGAGGAGGACCCGAUAACAAAGGAGCUUACCACGUAUCCGAAGACCAGGGCGCUUGAGCUUGUUCUGGUAAGGAAUACACCCCCGCGUAAUUAGCUCCAUAUGGUUGCACUCUAACUAAUCCCCAAUAUUUCUAAAUGGUUCACGUUCGUUUCGCAGGAAACUGAAAGCAGUAGCGCGGGGUCGUCUCAGAGCUCCCCUUUCGACAACACUUUAAAUAGGGCGUUGAACAUAAUGAAAAGCAAGGAUAAGCUCACUAAGCCGACGUCAGCUGGUCGUGUGGCCGGCAAAGGCUUGUCCACAAAAUGGGGGUCAUACUAUACUGCUGGUGUGCGGAAGGAGAAAAAGGCCAGCUUAGAGAGCCAGACGCGCGAGGUUGAAGCACUCAAGGCACAAGUGGCGCGGAUUACGGAGCUUGUCCAAGAGCAAGUGGAACAACAACUGGGAACGAAGCUCAAAGCCAUGGUGCCUACGUUGAUUCAUGGGCUGACGACGUGGAUUGCGGGUGGCCAACAGGGGCUUCCCCCGGUUCCCAGCUUCACGGCCAGCAACUCGCACAACGCGCAGGCGGCGCCAUUGGUGUCUCCGGCGGAGGCGGUAUUCGUGUCUCCGGCACCGGCACGGGCAUUGGAGCUUAAUGCACCCGGGUGUAAGCCGGCCGGCACCUCGCCAGCAAGCUCCCCCUCUGUCAGUUGCAUGCCCGCUGUUGGCGGUGCCUCGACAUUAGCCGAGCUCGAUGGCAUCACAGUAACUAAGCCUCUCGGCCGAUGACUUCACCUCCUUGCCUUUGACUGGGCAUCCCUGACGCCCUGUACAUGUUUUUGCAGGGCACCGCCGAUGUUCCUUGCACUCUUCUGCACUUCGUGGGCGCCGAGUUGGUCGAUGUCGCCAAGGGCAGAAUCGUUCAACCGGGCAACCGCAUGUUCCACGGUAAUCCGAUGCCACCCACAGUGUAUAGGGUUGAAGUGGUUCGGGUGCUACCAGGCUGCGACGAGCUGUUACCUCCGGAUCGACCCGCUGGGGCCGACGAAGAAGAUGAGAUGACCCUCAGCGCCUGCAUAAACUGGGCGCUGCUUUGGCCGAAGAGCCAGAUUCGUUUGGGGGCGGGGGACACCACCCCACAGACAAGACCGCCAGUCGUGCCGGCGCCAAGCCAUGGCAAGAACGCCGCAACGCUACCGGACCUGCCGGACAUCCCUAUGUCGGACAUCCCUAUGGCACAGGAUCCGGACAGCCCUAUGGCACAGGAUCCGGAUGACGACGACAACGACGGCGGUACAUUUUCCAAAGUCGACAAGUACUUUGCCGAACAUGGGUACGCUAACGAGUUCUGCAGGCCUCUUUCUCAAGAACCCAACCAAGACGACCGCAAUCUAGCUGGUACGGCGGAGAAAUCCAAUUGCAAUAGGCAUCAUAUGCCGUUCAGUUCUCAGGAGACGCCUCCAGCUCCCGCCUUCACCGAGCCUUAGAUAGCUGAGGUGCGAAAUAUUAUUAGCCCCAACACGCUCAAGAAAGCGGUCUGUGAGCAGACCUCGGUCCCAUUACAGGAGAUCAAGAAGAAGGGACGGAAACGAAAGACUAACAAGGGCGCCGGUGCGAGCCAGCCGGCAUCGAGUUUGAUCCGUGCUCAGGACGGGCCACCUUCACCUAAGGAUAUCCCGAGGAGGGUGCAUGUGGCGGGUAGGGCGAUGCUACCGCCAAAUAUGCUGAAUGCUGCAACCGGUGCUAUGCGGAGUCUGCACGACAGUGUUCUUUCUUUAGAGAAGCGGCGUCUGAGAGAGAAUGAUGUGGCAUACCCGGUUUUCGUGGCCAAGGUGCCAGAGGGCAAGGGCUUUGCGGAUGGCGACAUCGGGGGUACGAUCGUCCUGCAGUUUGAUGACAUCUUUGCUAUGUUUAACCUUCAUUCGCUGCACUACACCUUCGUUCAGCUGUUUUUGCUAAGUAUGGAGAUGCGGAUCAUUAGAGACAAGACCCCGGACAUCGUGAUAGUCGACCCCUUCUACAUGCGUGCCAAGCACUUGAACAGCGCUGGGGACCACCAAGUUGCGAGUUCACACCUCGAAGGCGUCAUUCUGGCAAACCCAGAUAAGGAUAACUUCCUUAUGCCUUACUUUCCCGAGUAAGUCAUCCCUUAACCGCCCCGUAACAUAUGAUUUCUUAGAUUUUGAUCGUUCUUUUUUUCUAACAUUCCAUGUUCUGUGCAGUGACACACAUUGCACACUCAUCCUCUUAAGCCCGAAAUAUUCCAUGGCCACGUAUUUCGACCCGAACCAUAACUCCAAGAUAGACUACACAAAUGUCAAGAAAGUUCUUGAUGAUGUUCUCCCCGGCUACGCCAAAUCUGGAGGCACCUUCACCAGGGCAGUUCGUAAGUACGGCAAGCACAUGUUCUCUCACAAUACGAAGUUCUGCUGUAUCAAGCAGCCGCCUGGCGGUCAGAAGGAUGCCUACUAUGCCCUCCAUCACAUGCGGGCGAUCGUAAGGGACCAUCAUCAACUUCUGCUACCAGAUAAUCUCAAAGAUUGGGCGGCGAGCUUGUCGGUAGUCCAGGACGCGAACCUCAGACAAGAAUUCUUUCGCAUCCAGUCGGAGUUUGUGGACAUCAUCCAUCAAGAUGUCCUUCAUACCUCGGGGCAGUUCUUCGUCAGAUAUCAACCGUCCAACAGUGAGAUAGAUGAAACGCUACAAAUGCAGGGUGACAACGACCGCGAUUUCAUGACCAUCACGACAGACGGCGGCUUCAUCCACGCUCCUGUCCGAUGAGUCGAGUCAAAAGUAGUGAUGUGUAGUUCAGAAACAUUGAUUAGCUCAUGUUGUAAUUAAACUUUAAUGAAUUCGUAUGUCUCUUUGGUUUGGACAGUCGUUCAACUUAGAUGUAAUCGAUGCUAUUUAUUAGUAGGACCAUGAAUCGUACUAUUAAUGUAUUGCUUUUCUCUUCCGAUCCUUUUGUUGCAUACUUACAUAUUGCUUAUGUAUUGUCUGUUGUUUGGCUUGUGCAUAGAGAUGCCGUCGUAUGUCGUGUACAAGGGUAAGGUUCCCGGAGUCUACGAUGACUGGGAGGAGUGUCGGAGACAGGUUCACCAUUUUAGCGGUAACAGUUACAAAGGGUACACCACUAGGGCGGAGGGCGAAUCUAGAUAUGCCCGCUAUCUAGCGGGAGAGAGGAGGGAGCGUUGGAGGAACCGGAUGAGGACCAGUUUGACCGUGAUGAUGCUCAUCGUGAUGACCACAACUCUCUUUUAUGUGAUGGUAGUUUAGAUGAUCGAUAUCGACUUGUAAUGUGAAGACAAACUCGAUACUCGCGGUCUUGAGACUAAUAUGAUGAAUUGUAUUCGGUCUUUUGAAUUCAGAGACUAAUAUGAUGAAUUGUAUUCGGAGGUGUGUGCGCGAUAGAAAGAUGCUCCGAUAGAAAUAGAGAUAGACCAUGCACAUGUUUGUGAUGGAGACUAAGAUUAGCUAGUCAUAUACAUAUAGGGGGGACUGCGUGUGCCUACAAUUGAGUGAGAGACCACCAUACUUGGCUAGAUAGGCAUGAGAUUGUGUGUGUGUGCAUGUGAGAUGGAGAGAGAAUGAGGGAGAGAGAUAGAGUUUUAGAUGGGCCUAUCGAGUGCGAGUGAGAUAUGCAUGUGUAUGUGUGACCCAGGUGGAUGGAGAGUUCGAGAGAGGGGGGAAGAGAUCCGAUACGACAGAGUGGUGCAUGAGAGAGUUACGGGCAAAGAGCCAAGGAAUUUGUGUGCGUACGAUGAGUGCACCCAAUAUAUCUAGCUUGGACUAGCUAGAGUAUCAUACAUAGUGUGCGAGAGAGACCUAUAGAUGGUGUAUAUAUGCAUGCGAACUCAAAAGAACCCCCCCCCCACACACACACACAGAGAGAGAGAGAUGGAGAGAAAGGGAGAGGCACCAACAAGGUUUUUGUGUCGGAUGCGUGCGGCAGAAUUGAAGAUUGUCGGCGAGAGAGAGAGGGAGAGAACAGGAGUCUGGGAGAGGGGGAGGUCGCGUUUUAUGCAUCAAAGACUGAUAUAAACCAUGUUUCGAUAUAAACUUGCAUUCAAAUAUUUAAAUUGGAGAACAUGUUGUCUGCAAUCCACACAUGAACGGAUAUAUGCGUAUAUCAAACAAGUUCAUUAAUUUGACUUUCAACACGUUCAUGGAGUACUAUAAUACUGUACAACAUGCUACUCGAUUGAGGUGUUCAAUUUUGGAUUUAGUUCACUAUUUUAACCUAGUGAACGAGCUAUUUCAUUGAAUCGAGAUAUUUCAUUUUGGGUUUGAUUCGCGUUUUUGUGUGGGUCAACUAUUUGUCAUAUAGUAAAUAGCUAGCAACCAGCAUGUAAAAACACAUUACUCCCGAGCAUCAUCUCUCCAUCUAAAAAAGAAGUGGCAAGCUAAUAUUUCAAAAUUUGAUUCGAAUGGACUUGGUAAGGUAGACUUGGAUGUUCGUUCUCCCAAAAUUUGAACGAACCGUUAAACAUCAUCUCUGCUCGGUGGAAUUCGCCCGAGCAAAUAAAUGGGAGAUGCUAAAUUACCGUCCUAUGUGGGACACGCAUCAAUUGGCCCGUUGUACAUCGAUGGUAGGUUCGUAACUUCAUCCAAGCGCGCCUUCUCCUCGGCCGAAAUGACAUGUGCCGAAUAAUUCAUAAACCAUGGUCGGCAAAACACGCUCUCCUCGCCCGAAAUAGCUCGCACCCACUAUUUCAAAACACUCUCUCCUCGCCCGAAAUCGCUCGUGCCCACUAUAAUUCAAAACACGCCCUCCUCGCCCGAAAUCGCUCCCGCCCACUAUUUGGGGAGAAGCAAAGUUACUAUACUAUCCCCGACGCUCAGUACAUAGACCCAAGCCGAGAAUCCUAAAGGCAAGGGUACAACUAUAACUCCCCCUCACAUUUCAGACAAAUGCGUCAGUAAGACAUGGUUCCACUCCCCUCCCAAUCCCCCCCAUUCAUACCUCGUGGGUGCCAAAUCACCUUAUCCCCGGGAAGCUCCCUUCUCCCGAGCCGUGAAACCUCAGCCCCACCUCCAUGGCUCCCCCUCCGGACCAACUUCACAGCCGCCCUCCUCCCUAAUGCCGGAGAUGCUGUCCACUUGCCGUCGUGCACUAGGCCAUGUGCCUCUUACUCCGUGCUGCUGGUGCUGCCUCGACGACGGCCGCGUGAACCAUACCGGAGCCGAUUCACCCCCGCCGUUGUUCACGGCGCCGGAGCGGCUCCAACUUCGGAUCCGUCCAGAGUCCUGGUGCUGCUUCCCCAUAGUCGUCGACCGUCGUGACAUCGCUAUUUCCCUGCCACCGGUCGCCAUCGCAACCGUGCCGGCCUCACCGACUCGGCAGCUGAACCUGCCUACUUCACCAUGCUACUAGAUAGGUCGCACCCUCAUCUCAAAUCACUUUAUUUAGGUGUCAGUUGUCUGAAUUUUUUUUCUGGGCAAAUUGAUUCCCAAUGAGAAGUAGCACCCCUCGAGGCGGUGGAGUUCCUAGGCUGCCGGUUGGCUGGUGUCUAACGUAAGUGUGCGGGGCCGCAUGUUCGUCGUGGAAGAAGCUCUUAGAUGGCUAUCUUUUAGAGUUGCGUGGGUUGAAGGUACUGCCGCCGCCAGAUCUGGAUGACGGGGAGUCUUUGUGGAUUGGCAUGGGGGCGGCGCAACCACGACAGUGUGGUGGGGCGGGGAGCAGGGUUUUGGCCGGGGCCAUGGACGGCGGAGGUAGGCUGCUCUACCGUUGGUCGCUGGCUCUUCGGGGAAGAUUUCAAACAGUGUCAGCCGGGAGGCACAAGACGGCCAUCAAGCCAUCCGGCGUAGAUCGGACAGUACCAAAAUAAAAUAAAAUUGUGUGACCCCAAUUUAGUCUUCAGUCAACAGACGUGUGACCACUCUUGUACCUUGUUAUUGAUCUCUUAGUGUAUUUCUUCAUAUCAAAGAUAUGUCGUUCUUAACAUUAUGCGUUAUCUGCAUCUUCAGACACACCGUCUUCCAACUCACCAUACCUGCUCCAACAAGGGAAGCAUACACUAGAAGGGAGCUAUAGUCCCCACUCAACAGAUCCCUGCAAUGAAUGCGCGUGCCCGACAUGGACAGCCACAACAGCUGCAGGGCCAUCGACAAGUCAGCACAUGAUGCUCACUCCUAUGGAUGGUAGCCAGAUAGGUUGUACCCUCAUCUUACUUGUGUGCAACAUUUAUCGCUUUGUUAUUCAUCUAAGCAUGGAAAAUAGAUCAUCACAUUUCACUGUAUAUUCAUGCUGAUCUCUUAAGGGUCCUGUUCAGUCGUUAACGUUGUUCCAUAGUUCAGCUAAGAUACUUGUUCUUUAGGUACCACUGUUCCAUAGUUAUCAUCCAUCAGCCAAUGCUAUCACACAAGCUAGUGAUUAUAGUAUUAUACCACUUCUAGUAUUACCUAUGUUGUUCUUUAAUACUUUUGUGUGCCAUCUAGUUAAUCUUACAAAUGAUACAUAUUCUGUAGCUUUCAUCUGUGUUCUCCCUUUAGUUUAUGAGACCUGUUGCUGCUAGUUAACCCAGUCCUACUAUUUAUGUCAUCUCCUACAGGCACUCAUUACAUAAAUCUAACUACUAGUUGUCUUCCAUGCAUGUCAUAUAUAAUUGCACACACUGAUAUAUCCACAAGAACCUCACGGAGCAAUGUAAAGGCCAAUAAACUUGAUGUCAAUGAUACCCAAUAUGAUGGAACAUGUAAAGGCAGUUCUUCAGAAGACUUGCAGAAAGAUGAUGAAUCCUCUUCACCCCACAAGGUCCUUGCUCUAACUUGGCCAGUGAUAUGGGUACAACAUGCAUAUAAUGUCCUGGAGUGUAUCUACUCUAUUGCAAUGCCAUGUGCUUAGCAUGUUGAUCAUGCAUGGAAAUAUGGCAUGACUUCCUGUUUUUCAAUACCUAUUCCAUUCAUGAUAACAUGUUUUCAAAUUCAAGUACUGUCAUUCUACUCUAUCGCAAUGCCAUCUGCUUAAUUUGGACAUCAUGCUUCUGAAUAUCUUAUGCAUUGUUAUUCAUCAGUAUGUACUUCAUGUGUCUACCAUACCAUGUUUGUUUACAUUGAAGUUUUGUUCUAGUGCUCUGUUGCAAUGUCAUCUUAGUUUCCCAAUCAUACACAUGUAUGUUGCCUUAGUUAUUUCUGUAUGUAUUCCGCUAGCAUACAGUUUUACAUUCAACUAGUGUUUUUUUUGCUGUGUUGUCCUGUCAUAUCCCUAGCUCUUACAUCAUACUCCCUCCGUCCGGAUUACAUGUUGCUAAAAUGGAUAAAAAAGGAUGUAUCUAGAACUGAAAUACGCCUAGCCCAUCCAUUUUUUUCUGGAUGGAGGGAAUACAUGUCAAUAUGUCAUGCCUUUCUAUUCUUUAGUACCUAUUCCAUCUCUCUGUUGUAGCAUGUUUUAUAAUUAAAGCACCAUUCUUCUAUACAAAGCAUGUGUCACAUCCCUAGUCUGGUAUGACCUAGACUAGCUAGUCAUUUGUGCAUCAUGUUUAAAUUUCAUUUAAAUUUGAAAUGAGGAUUGGUGGAACCCUCAGAAUCAUUUUUGAAAAUGACCCAAAUAAAAAUUUCUCCAAAAGGGUCCAAGAAAAUGCUCAUGUUGCUCUCUGAAAAUAUUGGACAGAGAUAAAAAAAUCAAAACAAUAUUUUUAGGAGCUCAUGGAUAUUUAUUUUGGCCAUUUGGAUUCAUUCGAUAAAUAUUUGCAUUGGAAAUAUAUUGCUAUAUAUAUGAAAUAUGGUCCAAAAAUUGUGCCAUUUAUAAAGGAGCUCUGGAAUAAUAUAUCUAGCUCCUGCAAAAAUUGGCAUAAGGUAAUAAAUUGAUUUAGUAUUUUAUUAAAUCAAACUAAUGUCAGAAAAAUUAGAAAACAAAAAAAAUAAAAGAAGGAGAAGCUUACCUGGGGCUCCCCCCCGCGCAGCCCAGCAGCUGGCCCAGCCCACCUGCCCCCCCCCCUCCUCUAUCGUCUUCCUCCCCGACAGGGGGGCNNNNNNNNNNNNNNNNNNNNNNNNNNNNNNNNNNNNNNNNNNNNNNNNNNNNNNNNNNNNNNNNNNNNNNNNNNNNNNNNNNNNNNNNNNNNNNNNNNNNNNNNNNNNNNNNNNNNNNNNNNNNNNNNNNNNNNNNNNNNNNNNNNNNNNNNNNNNNNNNNNNNNNNNNNNNNNNNNNNNNNNNNNNNNNNNNNNNNNNNNNNNNNNNNNNNNNNNNNNNNNNNNNNNNNNNNNNNNNNNNNNNNNNNNNNNNNNNNNNNNNNNNNNNNNNNNNNNNNNNNNNNNNNNNNNNNNNNNNNNNNNNNNNNNNNNNNNNNNNNNNNNNNNNNNNNNNNNNNNNNNNNNNNNNNNNNNNNNNNNNNNNNNNNNNNNNNNNNNNNNNNNNNNNNNNNNNNNNNNNNNNNNNNNNNNNNNNNNNNNNNNNNNNNNNNNNNNNNNNNNNNNNNNNNNNNNNNNNNNNNNNNNNNNNNNNNNNNNNNNNNNNNNNNNNNNNNNNNNNNNNNNNNNNNNNNNNNNNNNNNNNNCGUAGCCACCGCGCCCCUCGAGAGCAUCUGAGCAGUCCACGAGCUCCGCCACGUCGCCGGCUACCUCCUCGUCGAGCCACGCACCUCCGGACGGCCUCCAUCGCCGCCAUCGCCAUCGUCUUCCUCCUCGGGCUCCGCCGUCCGCCGCCGUCGAUUCGCCGUCACCAGGUCUCCCCCGACCCCGCUGUGCUGCUCUGCGUGAUCGCCGUGUGCAUCUCCCUGUUUCCCCUCUCUUCUCCCCCUUGUUCCCGUGGCAUAGCCGUCGCUACCACCAUGGCCGAAGCCAUCGCCGCCGCAGCUCCUCGCCGUCGUGGCUAGAGCCACCGCAGCCCGUGCCUGCACCUGCCACCGCGCUCAGUAGCCUCCCAGAAGGCCAACGCCUCCGCCCGCAGCUCCUGCCAUGCCCUGCAGCACCCGCUCGCGCCUCACCCGAACUCCGGCGGCCGCCCCGAGCUUCGCUCCGGCGAGAUCCACCGCCCCCGCAGCCUCCCGCAUGAACCACUAGAUGCGCGCGAGCCGGGGCUUCGCGUGGGUGGUCUCCGCCGCCCGAAUGGUCGCCGGAACGGCGAUCCCGAUCCCCUCCGCCGCGUUCGGCCUAGCCGGCGGCUAAACGCCGGCGAGAUUGACCGGGUCAACCCAGCUANNNNNNNNNNNNNNNNNNNNNNNNNNNNNNNNNNNNNNNNNNNNNNNNNNNNNNNNNNNNNNNNNNNNNNNNNNNNNNNNNNNNNNNNNNNNNNNNNNNNNNNNNNNNNNNNNNNNNNNNNNNNNNNNNNNNNNNNNNNNNNNNNNNNNNNNNNNNNNNNUUUUUUUUGAUUAGGAUUAAACUAACCCUGUUUAACCCCCUGUCACUGACGUGUGGACCCCACACGUCAGGUUUGACCCCAGCCAGCCGCAGUUGACCGCUGACGUCGUGCUGACGUCAUGCUGGCGCAAUAUUUAUUUCUGGAUUUAAAUUAAAUCAGAAAAUUCCAGAAAUUGUUUUAAACUUCAAAAAUUCAUAACAAUUCAACCGUAGCUCAGAUUAAAAUAAUUUAUAUAUGAAAAAUUAUCAGAAAAAUGUAAUCUAUCCAUCUGUACUAGUUUCAUGCAUGACAAACCAACUUAUACAUGCUGAAUAUGAGAAAACGCAUUAUGGCAUAUAUAGGAGCUUAAUUUGGAGAUGCAUUUGAACCUUUGGUUCAAAUGGACUUCAAACCAAAUGAAUACUAGUUGCAUUAGCUCAAACAACAUCACAUCUUCAUGCCAUGUUCAUGCAUCAUAUUGUUGCAUAUGUUUGUGUAAUGAUUGCCGGCACCGUUCCUUCUCGAUAGGUCUUGCUCCGGAGACCGUUCCAGAGUACCUGUCUGUGAAGCAGUGCCUCCUCUGUUGAUUUACCAGGCAAGCAAACCCCCUUGUUCAUUUCAAUAAAACCCUACUCUCUCGCUCCUGCUCUCAGUUAUUGCAUUAGGACAACAACGAUUCAUCUGUUACUUAGUGCUGCGGUAGUUGAACCUAUUCCUCUGCAUGACCUGUCAUUGCCACAGUAAAUAGUUGAAACCCACUAGCAUGUGUAGGAGUUGAUUGAGCCAUGUUGUGUUCCUACCAUGCUAUGCCUGCUAUUGCUUAGAGUUGUGUCAGGUCUGAUUCAUUGGGAAUGAAUUGGAGUGUUACGAUAUGUUCUGGUGCUGAUAGUUAAGUGUGUGAACACGAUUUGGUAAAGGUAGCGGUGAGAGGCCAUGUAGGAGUACAUGGUGGGUUGUCUCACUGGAACCGUCCUUAAGCACUGAGUUCUAUGUAUGUUGUCCAAUGACUCGAUGCUACCACACAUUGGGUUCCGGUAACUCGACCCCUCUCGACUUAUUAACCAACUUGGUCUCUGUCCAGGAGUCGCAACUAGUUUCUGGUGUUUGUAGGUAGUGCUAUUUUUCUACCAAGUGGCACCCGGCAGGGUGGGCUUGGGACAGACUAGGCACACGUGGCCUGGUGUACCGAGUGGCACCCGGAUGGUGGGCUCGGGAACCCUGUACACAUCGUUUGGGGCCGUAAGCGACACCCCGGCCGGAUCUCCUUGCGGAUGGAACCCGAAUAGGCGAUAACCCUGGACUAGAGUCUUGUGUGGUUAGUCAGGUCGUGGCCGACACCCUCGCCAGGCUUCCGCUUGAAGGUUGCCGAGAUACAUGACGUGUACAUGGCGGUAAGUGGCGAGAGCGUGUGUGAAGAAGUACACCCCUGCAGGGUUAACAUGAUCUAUUCGAAUAGCCGGGUCCGCGGUUAUGGACUUCUUGGAUGCUUACAUGGUACAUAGACAACUUGAAGUGGAUACUAUAAAAUGCUCAAGACAAGUGUGAGUGCUAUGGAUGGCCUUCUCGUAGGGAGACGGGGAUGAAUCCAUAAUAGUGUAUUGUGUGGUGAUUAGUGGACUCGUGUACGUUGUUUCACCUCCAGAGUUUCUGGUAGUCGUAGAACAGGAUAGCCACAGAGUCAAAGAUGGCUUGCUGCAACUAAACCCCACGUUACCCUCUUGAUACAAAUGCAUGUAUGAUAGGAUCUGAUGUAAGUCUUGCUGAGUACCUUUGUACUCAUGUUGCUUUAUUUAUGUUUUUUGUAGCGGAGACUUCGGUCUUACUAGUGUUCUCGUGGACUUCGACUAGUAGCUAGUACCUCAGCUACGAUCUUGAGUGGACGUUGUAGAUAGUCAGGCUUUCAGCCUUUUUCAUUUAUAGAUGUCUGUACUCAGACAUGUAAUGCUUCCGCUUGUUGCUUGAUUGCUCUGACUGUUGGGUCAUGUGACACCUGUUUGUAAUAAUGCUGUGAUGGCUCUUCUGAGCCUUUAUCUAUAUAAGUUGUUGAGUUAUGCUGUGAUGCCAUGUUGUACAGCACAUACUUGCAUGUUAUGCGUACGUGUAAUGUGUAUUGCUAUGUGUGGGAUCUGACUAUCUAGUUGUUUAUCCUUAGUAGCCUCUCUUACCGGGAAAUGUCUCCUAGUGCUUCCACUGAGCCCUGGUAGCUUGCUACUGCUCCGGAACACUUAGGCUGGCUGGCACGUGUUCUUCUUCGAUCCUGUGUAUGUCCCUUCAGGGAAAUGUCACGCGAUGAAUACCGGAGUCCUAUUAGCCUGCUACAGCCCAGUUCACCGGAGUCCUGUUAGCCCAGUGCUACAGCCUGGAUUCACUCGCUGAUGACCGACACGUUUGAUGCUGGGUCAUGGAUGCCUGUCCCUGUAGGUUAGUGCCACUUUGGGUUUACAACUAGCCAUGUCAGCCCGGGCUCUUUAUCAUAUGGAUGCUAGCGACACCAUCAUAUACGUGUGCCAAAAGGCGCAAACGGUCCCGGGCAAAGGUAAGGCGACACCCGUGGGGAUACCGUGCGUGAGGCCGCAAAGUGAUAUGAGGUGUUACAUGCUGGAUCGAUGUGGCAUCGAGUGCGGGUCCUGACAGCGCUGGUAUCAGAGCCUGACUGCCUGUAGGAUUACCAAGCCAAACUGGUCGAAGUCGAGUCUAGAAAUUCUUUAGUUAUGUAAGGGAAUUGAUUGUGGGUUGGAACGUAAGGCUCUUUUUACUCCUUAUACCUCAUGACCUUCUGAUCUGAGUCGUCCUAUCUUUCCGACGGGAUUAAGGAACUAGGCUUCUCUUCCGUCUAUCAGGAUCACGUGUUACUACUCCGUAGUUCCAUAGGAUUGGUUGAUCAGAGUCAUACCCCAGUUUUGAGUAUUUCCGGUGUAGUCUGUUUAGUAUGAUCUCAGAACCUUGAGUAAUGCUGAUGAGUAUGUUAUUGCCCCAUUUUAGUAGGAUGUCUCAUUCUGAGCUUUUUACUGCCGUUAUGCUGCCGGAAUUUUCCUAGGAGUUCGAGAGAUACUAAUUCCUUGUCCUACAUUCUACAGUCUAUAGUUGAUGCUGAUUCCGUCCCUGGUUUUCGUUUCUCAGGAUGUCAUCAAGUUCUAUUGUUCGUAGCCGGAACCAUGAGGAUGGUAGGGAUGAGGAUCCUCCCGACCAGCCUUCGUUGACAGAGUUCAUGCUAGAGAUGGAGAGGAACAAGCGUGAGUCUAACCGUUUGUUGGCACGUAUCGAGGAGAACACCGCACAUCAGUUCAAAGGGUCUGCUACCAUUCAUGAUUUCAUUCGCUUGCACCCACCUACCUUUCAUCAUUCCUUCGAGCCACUCGAUGCAGAUGACUGGCUCCGUAGCAUCACUCAUAAGCUGCUUUCCGCGAGCGUAGCUGAAGAUGACAAGGUCACUUAUGCCACAUACCACCUGGAAGGUCCUGCUAGUCUUUGGUGGCAGAACUAUGAGAUUUUGCUUCCAGCUGGCCAGAUUCCUACCUGGAGAGAUUUCACUGAGGCUUUUCGCGAGCAUCACAUUCCCCCGGCCCUCAUUGAUCGCAAGAGAGAAGAGUUCUAUAGUUUCACCCAGAAUAAGAUGGUUGUUGAUGCUUACAGUCGAGAGUUUGAGAACCUCGCUCGCUAUGCCACAGAAGAAGUGUCCACAGACGCCCAGAAGCAAGCUAGGUUCCGGAAGGGUCUCAACCCCAAGUUGCGUCGUGAUCUCCACCUGCAUCAUUGCGAUACAUUCCAAGCCCUUGUGAACAAAGCCAUUAAUGCAGAGACAGCUCAACUCACUUAAGAGGGGUCUCGUAAGCACACCCGUAAUCUGGGAUCUUCCUCUGGCUCUAGUUCCCAGAAGCGCCGGAUUUGGGUUCCAAACUCCGCUCUUCCUUACGGAUAUACGCCGGGGCCAUCCUCUGUGGUGCCUUCCCCAGCUCAGUCGUAUAUCCCACCCUUGCCUACUGGUAGACCACUUGUCAGUGCGGGUCCACGUCCAACCUCAGGGACUUGCUUCACAUGCGGGAAGCCAGGACACUAUGCACGUGACUGCUCUCAGACUAGUUAUGCUCCACCCAAGGCCGAGAAGACUGUUGGCUGUAUUAAGCCAUCACGCAAGAUGAUCAGUGUCAAGUCAGUUCCCACUGAACGUGGACGUGUGCAUCACGUCUCAGCUAAAGACGCUCAUGAUGAUCCAGAUGUCGUUCUUGGUACACUCCUUGUCAAUUGUCACCCAGCGUCAGUUCUAUUCGAUACUGGGGCAUCUCACUCCUUCAUUUCUGAAGGCUAUGCUCGUUUGCACGACAUGUCAUUUUGCGAUAUGCCAACUCCGCUUGAAAUCCAAACCCCAGGGUCUAGAUGGUAGACCACCAGAAUCAGCCAUGGUAACGAAAUCCUUGUUGAUAGACUUGUAUUCCUUGCAUCACUUGUAGCCCUCAAGUCCUCAGAUAUUAACAUCAUCUUGGGUAUGGACUGGAUGACAGCUCAUCAUGCCAAGAUUGAUUGUUACACAAGAUCUGUUCAGCUUACACACCCAUCUGGCAAGAUAGUCACCGUCUCCACUAGAGUUGCAAAGCGUCAGCUCUAUUCUCUUAAUGCCAGCCCUCUUCCAGACCUUGAAGAUAUCCCGGUAGUCCGUGACUUUCCGGAUGUCUUUCCAGAGGAACUGCCAGGUGUUCCACCUGACAGAGAAGUAGAGUUUGUCAUAGAUCUUAUCCCAGGAACAGCUCCAAUCUCCCGGAGACCUUACAAGAUGGCACCCUUAGAACUAGCCGAGCUUAAGAAACAACUUGAUGAGUCCUUGCAAAAGGGUUUCAUCCGUCCUAGUUCUUCUCCUUGGGCUUGCCCCGUCCUCCUUGUUACGAAGAAAGACGGUACGGACCGGAUGGUUGUAGAUUAUCGUCCCAUUAAUUUGGUCACGAUAAAGAACAAGUAUCCGCUCCCCAGGAUCAACGACCUGUAUGACCAGCUCGCUGGAUCCUCAGUCUUCUCCAAGAUGGAUUUGAGGUUAGGAUACCACCAAAUCAAAAUCAAAAACGGGGACAUUCCCAAGACAGCUUUUGUCACUCGUUAUGGCCAGUACGAGUACACCGUCAUGUCCUUUGGUCUAACUAACACUCCAGCUACAUUCUCCCGCCUGAUGAACUCGAUCUUCAUGGAGUACUUAGAUAAGUUCGUCGUGGUUUACCUCGAUGACAUUCUUAUUUACUCGAAGAACGAGGAAGAGCAUGCCGAACAUCUUAGACUUGUUUUAGAAAAACUCAGAGAGCACCGCCUUUAUGCCAAGUUCUCCAAGUGUGAAUUUUGGUUGCCAGAAGUGACCUACCUAGGCCACGUAAUCUCUGGUAAGGGCAUUGCUGUCAAUCCCGAGAGAGUCAAGGCCGUUCUCGAUUGGACUCCACCUGAAACAGUCAAACAAGUUAGGAGUUUCCUUGGGCUAGCCAGUUAUUGUCGCCGCUUUGUUGAAAACUUCUCCAAAGUAGCCAAACCCCUCACGGAACUUCUCAAGAAAGAUAAAAAGUUCCAGUGGUCCCCACAGUGUGAGUACAGUUUUCAGGAACUGAAAAGACGCCUGACUUCUGCUCCCAUACUUGUGCCACCGGAUUUCACUAAAGACUUUAUUAUCUACUGUGACGCCUCACGACAGGGACUAGGUUGCAUUCUUAUGCAGGAUCGUCAUGUGAUUGCCUAUGCAUCUCGACAGUUGCAUCCACAUGAGGAGAAUUAUCCUACACAUGAUCUAGAGCUUGCAGCCGUAGUCUAUGCACUCAAAACCUGGCGACAUUACCUCCUUGGUAAACGUUGCGAGAUCUACACCGAUCACCAGAGUCUCAAGUAUAUCUUCACCCAACCAGAUAUGAACCUUAGGCAAAGACGUUGGUUGGAGUUAAUCACAGAUUAUGAUCUAGGGAUUACCUACACCCCAGGCAAAGCCAAUGUCAUGGCUGAUGCUCUAAGCCGUAAAUCUUAUUGCAAUAAUCUCAUGUUGCAGGAAGGCCAACCACUUCUCCAUGAGGAAUUCUGUAAGCUUAAUCUUCACAUAGCUCCUCGCGGAUUUCUUUCUACCUUGGUGGCAAAACCUACCCUUUUGGACCUUAUCAUAGAAGCCCAGAAGCAUGAUACGGGGGUUACCCGGAUCAAGAGAAACAUUAAGAAGUGAGUUGGUGGAUGUUUCUCUAUGGAUGAUCGUGGUGUUGUUUUCUUUGAGAAUCGCUUGGUGGUUCCCAAGAAGCAACAUCUUCGGCAGUUGAUUCUUAAGGAGGCGCAUGAAUCUCCUCUCACGAUUCAUCCCGGUAGCACUAAGAUGUAUCAGGACCUACGCCAGAGGUUAUGGUGGACUAGGAUGAAGAGAGAAAUCGCUGAGUUCAUUUCUAAAUGUGACGUUUGUCGUCGCGUUAAGGCAGAGCAUCAGAGACCUGCUGGCACCCUUCAGCCUUUAGCUAUUCCUGAAUGGAAAUGGGAUAAAGUUGGUAUGGACUUCAUCACCGGCUUUCCCAGGACCAAGAGAGGGAAUUAUCUUCGUAGUCGUUGAUCGUCUUUCCAAAGUGGCUCACUUCCUUCCUGUUCGAGAAAAUAUCACUGCUAGUCAGCUUGCUGACUUAUAUAUUUCUCGAAUAGUGUCACUGCAUGGUGUUCCACUAGAGAUCAAUUCAGACCGUGGCAGUCUUUUCACUUCUCAUUUCUGGGAGAGUUUCCAAACUGCCAUCGGAACCCAUCUUUCCUUCAGUACCGCUUUCCACCCUCAGUCGAGUGGUCAGGUGGAACGGGUCAAUCAAAUUCUCGAAGACAUGCUCAGAGCUUGCGUUAUCUCAUUCGGUAUGGAUUGGGAGAAAUGUCUUCCUUUUGCCGAGUUUGCUUAUAACAAUAGCUAUCAAUCCAGCCUCAAGAAAGCUCCUUUUGAGGUUCUCUAUGGACGAAGAUGUCGAACACCUUUGAACUGGUCAGAAACCGGUGAAAGACAAUUCUUUGGACCGGAUAUGAUCCAGGAGGCAGAAGAGCAAGUUCGCAUCAUUCGUGAUAAUUUGAAAACAGCCCAGUCUCAUCAGAAGAGCCAGUACGAUCGUCAUCAUAAGGAUAUGACUUAUGAAAUUGGCGACCAAGCUUACCUUCGGGUUACUCCUUUGAAGGGUACCCAUCGUUUCGGUAUCAAGGGCAAGUUGGCUCCUCGUUACAUUGGUCCUUUUCGUAUUCUCGCUAAACGAGGAGAGGUUGCCUACCAGUUGGAACUACCCCCACAUCUUUCUCGAGUUCAUGAUGUCUUCCACGUCUCUCAACUCAGGCGUUGCUUCUCGGAUCCCAUCCGCGGAGUGGACCACGAAACGCUUGAUCUCCAAGAUAACCUCACAUACCGAGAGUACCCGGUUCGCAUUCUUGAUCAAGCAGAGCGUGUCACUCGACGUCAGAACAUCAAGUUACUCAAAGUUCAGUGGUCUCAUCAUUCCGAGAGAGAAGCUACUUGGGAACGAGAAGAUCGUCUUCGACUAGAGUACCCCACUUUCUUUCCGUCGACCCCUGAAUCUCGAGACGAGAUUCUUUCAAGUGGGGGCGAGUUGUCACAUCCCUAGUCUGGUAUGACCUAGACUAGCUAGUCAUUUGUGCAUCAUUUUUAUAUUUCAUUUAAAUUUGAAAUGAGGAUUGGUGGAACCCUCAGAAUCAUUUUUGAAAAUGACCCAAAUAAAAAUUUCUCCAAAAGGGUCCAAGAAAAUGCUCAUGUUACUCUCUGAAAAUAUUGGACAGAGAUAAAAAAUCAAAACAAUAUUUUUAGGAGCUCAUGGAUAUUUAUUUUGGCCAUUUGGAUUAAUUCGAUAAAUAUUUGCAUUGGAAAUAUAUUGCUAUAUAUAUGAAAUAUGGUCCAAAAAUUGUGCCAUUUAUAAAGGAGCUCUGGAAUAAUAUAUCUAGCUCCUGCAAAAAUUGGCAUAAGGUAAUAAAUUGAUUUAGUAUUUUAUUAAAUCAAAUUAAUGUCAGAAAAAUUAGAAAACAAAAAAAAUAAAAGAAGGAGAAGCUUACCUAGGGCUCCCCCCCUCGCAGCCCAGCAGCUGGCCCAGCCCACCUGCCCCCCCCUCCUCUGUCGUCUUCCUCCCCGACAGGGGGACGGCGCGUGCCCGACGCGCGCGCACCGCCUCGCCGCGCCACCUCCUCCCUCCCUGCCUGCCUGUCCUCCCCUCGUCGCUCUNNNNNNNNNNNNNNNNNNNNNNNNNNNNNNNNNNNNNNNNNNNNNNNNNNNNNNNNNNNNNNNNGCCCGAACGCGCCCGUCGCCACCGCUCGCCGUAGUCGUAGCCACCGCGCCCCUCGAGAGCAUCUGAGCAGUCCACGAGCUCCGCCACGUCGCUGGCUACCUCCUCGUCGAGCCACGCACCUCCGGACGGCCUCCAUCGCCGCCAUCGCCAUCGUCUUCCUCCUCGGGCUCCGCCGUCCGCCGCCGUCGAUUUGCCGUCAACAGGUCUCCCCCGACCCCGCUGUGCUGCUCUGCGUGAUCACCGUGAGCAUCUCCCUGUUUCCCCUGUCUUCUCCCCCUCGUUCCUGUGUCGUAGCCGUCGCUACCACCAUGGCCGAAGCCAUCGCCGCCGCAGCUCCUCGCCGUCGUGGCCAGAGCCACCGCAGCCCGUGCCUGCACCUGCCACCGCGCUCAGUAGCCUCCCAGAAGGCCAACGCCUCCGCCCGCAGCUCCUGCCAUGCCCUGCAGCACCCGCUCGCGCCUCACCCGAACUCCGGCGGCCGCCCCGAGCUUCGCUCCGGCGAGCUCCGCCGCCCCCGCAGCCUCCCGCAUGAACCACUAGAUGCGCGCGAGCCGGGGCUUCGCGUGGGUGGUCUCCGCCACCCGAAUGGUCGCCGGAACGGCGAUCCCGAGCCCCUCCGCCGCGUUCGGCCUAGCCGGCGGCUAAACGCCGGCGAGAUUGACCGGGUCAACCCAGCUAACUAACCCCCCCCCCCCGCUAAUUAAGUUAGAUUAGUGCUAAUCACCGCUUAGUUAACCCCCUGACACUGACAGUGGGCCCCAGUGCCACUAAUCUUUUUAAUUAGGAUUAAACUAACCCUGUUCAACCCCCUGUCACUGACGUGUGGACCCCACACGUCAGGUUUGACCCCAGCCAGCCGCAGUUGACCGCUGACGUCGUGCUGACGUCAUGCUGGCGCAAUAUUUAUUUCUGGAUUUAAAUUAAAUCAGAAAAUUCCAGAAAUUGUUUUAAACUUCAAAAAUUCAUAACAAUUCAACCGUAGCUCAGAUUAAAAUAAUUUAUAUAUGAAAAAUUAUCAGAAAAAUGUAAUCUAUCCAUCUGUACUAGUUUCAUGCAUGACAAAACAACUUAUACAUGCUGAAUAUGAGAAAACACAUUAUGGCAUAUAUAGGAGCUUAAUUUGGAGAUGCAUUUGAACCUUUGGUUCAAAUGGACUUCAAACCAAAUGAAUACUAGUUGCAUUAGCUCAAACAACAUCACAUCUUCAUGCCAUGUUCAUGCAUCAUAUUGUUGCAUAUGUUUGUGUAUUGAUUGCCGGCACCGUUCCUUCUCGAUAGGUCUUGCUCCGGAGACCGUUCCAGAGUACCUGUCUGUGAAGCAGUGCCUCCUCUGUUGAUUUACCAGGCAAGCAAACCCCCUUGUUCAUUUCAAUAAAACCCUACUCUCUCGCUCCUGCUCUCAGUUAUUGCAUUAGGACAACAACGAUUCAUCUGUUACUUUGUGCUGCGGUAGUUGAACCUAUUCCUCUGCAUGACCUGUCAUUGCCACAGUAAAUAGUUGAAACCCACUAGCAUGUGUAGGAGUUGAUUGAGCCAUGUUGUGUUCCUACCAUGCUAUGCCUGCUAUUGCUUAGAGUUGUGUCAGGUCUGAUUCAUUGGGAAUGAAUUGGAGUGUUACGAUAUGUUCUGGUGCUGAUAGUUAAGUGUGUGAACACGAUUUGGUAAAGGUAGCGGUGAGAGGCCAUGUAGGAGUACAUGGUGGGUUGUCUCACUGGAACCGUCCUUAAGCACUGAGUUCUAUGUAUGUUGUCCAAUGACUCGAUGCUACCACACAUUGGGUUCCGGUAACUCGACCCCUCUCGACUUAUUAACCAACUUGGUCUCUGUCCAGGAGUCGCAACUAGUUUCUGGUGUUUGUAGGUAGUGCUAUUUUUCUACCAAGUGGCACCCGGCAGGGUGGGCUUGGGACAGACUAGGCACACGUGGCCUGGUGUACCGAGUGGCACCCGGAUGGUGGGCUCGGGAACCCUGUACACAUCGUUUGGGGCCCUAAGCGACACCCCGGCCGGAUCUCCUUGCGGAUGGAACCCGAAUAGGCGAUAACCGUGGACUAGAGUCUUGUGUGGUUAGUCAGGUCGUGGCCGACACCCUCGCCAGGCUUCCGCUUGAAGGUUGCUGAGAUACAUGACGUGUACAUGGCGGUAAGUGGCGAGAGCGUGUGUGAAGAAGUACACCCCUGCAGGGUUAACAUGAUCUAUUCGAAUAGCCGGGUCCGCGGUUAUGGACUUCUUGGAUGCUUACAUGGUACAUAGACAACUUGAAGUGGAUACUAUAAAAUGCUCAAGACAAGUGUGAGUGCUAUGGAUGGCCUUCUCGUAGGGAGACGGGGAUGAAUCCAUAAUAGUGUAUUGUGUGGUGAUUAGUGGACUCGUGUACGUUGUUUCACCUCCAGAGUUUCUGGUAGUCGUAGAACAGGAUAGCCACAGAGUCAAAGCUGGCUUGCUGCAACUAAACCCCACGUUACCCUCUUGAUACAAAUGCAUGUAUCAUAGGAUCUGAUGUAAGUCUUGCUGAGUACCUUUGUACUCAUGUUGCUUUAUUUAUGUUUUUUGCAGCGGAGACUUCGGUCUUACUAGUGUUCUCGUGGACUUCGACUAGUAGCUAGUACCUCAGCUACGAUCUUGAGUGGAUGUUGUAGAUAGUCAGGCUUUCAGCCUUUUUCAUUUAUAGAUGUCUGUACUCAGACAUGUAAUGCUUCCGCUUGUUGCUUGAUUGCUCUGACUGUUGGGUCAUGUGACCCCUGUUUGUAAUAAUGUUGUGAUGGCUCUUCUGAGCCUUUAUCUAUAUAAGUUGUUGAGUUAUGCUGUGAUGCCAUGUUGUACAGCACAUACUUGCAUGUUAUGCGUACGUGUAAUGUGUAUUGCUAUGCGUGGGAUCUGACUAUCUAGUUGUUUAUCCUUAGUAGCCUCUCUUACCGGGAAAUGUCUCCUAGUGCUUCCACUGAGCCCUGGUAGCUUGCUACUGCUCCGGAACACUUAGGCUGGCCGGCACGUGUCCUUCUUCGAUCCUAUGUCUGUCCCUUCGGGGAAAUGUCACGCGAUGAAUACCGGAGUCCUGUUACCCUGCUACAGCCCGGUUCACCGGAGUCCUGUUAGCCCAGUGCUACAGCCUGGAUUCACUCGCUGAUGACCGACACGUUCGACGCUGGGUCAUGGAUGCCUGUCCCUGUAGGUUAGUGCCACUUUGGGUUUACAACUAGCCAUGUCAGCCCGGGCUCUUUAUCAUAUGGAUGCUAGCGACACCAUCAUAUACGUGUGCCAAAAGGCGCAAACGGUCCCGGGCAAAGGUAAGGAGACACCCGUGGGGAUACCGUGCGUGAGGCCGCAAAGUGAUAUGAGGUGUUACAUGCUGGAUCGAUGUGGCAUCGAGUGCGGGUCCUGACAGCAUGCAAGGGGAAGACGACUAUGUUAGAAUCUGAAGGGUUACAAACAAGGCCUUUGCAAAAGAUCCAAACGCCAGGAGAUAAUAAACCAACUCCAAUUUUUAUACAUACUGCUCCAGCACACAGAAACCCAACUCCUACUGAUAAUAAGCAGAUUCCAAUGGCCAAAUAACUAGUCCGCUCCAGUCCAGCAAAAAUAUGUCAACUCCAUUCUAAGAAGCGUGUGUGUAUCCUUUCAUUAUGAAAUUUUAUAGCAUGCUGAUCAUAUUUUCUACAUGUUUCUUACCCAUCUCUCUUUUAGAAAAUAAGCUUAACAGAUAGAAGAAUUUCUGCAAUGGUAUCGUUUAUGAGGAAAGAUUCUUGCAGGAAUUCUCUGUGCUCCAAUGUAGAUGUAAGUACUUGUUGUAUAUCACUAUUUUUACAUCAACAUGUAUUUUGUUAAUCAGAGUGCAUCCAACCUUUAUCUGAUCUAAAUUUAGUUGUAACAAAAUGUAUGAUUAAAGGCGCCAAUGUUGAUUUUUGUAAGGAAAACUGCCUGGUAGUUUUGCAUCCUGAGUUGCAUGAGUGUACUAUCUCAUAUCAGAGGGUUUGAAUACUUUGGUUUUGCAGUGGGUUUUUAGUGUUUUUGUUACUGUGUUGUCCUGUCGUAUCCCUAGCUCUUACAUCAUAAUCCCUCCGUCUGGAUUACAUGUCGUAGAAAUGGAUAAAACUGGAUGUAUCUAGAACUGAAAUACGCCUAGACCCACCCAUUUAUUUCCGGAUGGAGGGAAUACAUGUCAAUAUGUCAUGCCUUUCUAUUCUUCAGUAACUAUUCCAUCUUUGUUGUAGCAUGUUUUAUAACUCAAUCACCAUUCUUCUAUAUAAGACAUGCAAGGGGAAGACGACUAUGCUAGAAUCUGAAGGGUUACAAACCAGGUCUUUGCAAAAGAUCCAAACGUCAGGAGAUAAAAAACCAACUCCAUUUUUCAUAGACACUGCUCCAGCACAGAGAAACCCAACUCCCCCUGAUAAUAAGAAGAUUCCAGUGGCCAACGAACUAGUCCACCCUAGUACAGCAAAAGAAUGUCAACUCCAUUCUAAGAAGCGUGUGCAUAUCCUCGCAUCAUGAAAUUUUAUAGCAUUAUGAUCAUAUUUUCUACAUGUUUCUUACAAUCUCUCUUUUAGAAAAUAAGGUGAAACGAUAGAAGACUUCCUCCAUUGGGAUCGUAUUCGAGGAAAAUAUCUUCCGGGAAUUCUCUGUGCUCCAAUGCUGAUGUAAGUACUUGUUGUAUAUCACUAUAUUUUUACAUCAGCAUGUAUUUUGUUAAUCGGUGUGAAUCUAACCUUUGUCUAAUCUAAAAUUAGUUGUAGCAAAAUGUUAAAGGCGCCAAUGUUGAUUUUUGUAAGGAAAACUGCCUGGUAGUUUUGCAUACUGAGCUGCAUGAGUGUACUAUCUCAUAUCACGCACAUUACUGAAUUGUAGUGCUUCUCUGGUUGCCCAUUCAUUCAUUGUGUCAAUGUUGCUUUCGUAUUACCUUACCUGGCCGAUGAUAGUUGUGCCAUAUUGUGUUAAUUUGGUGUAGGCUAGUUGCCCAUACGUUCGUUGUGUCAAUGUUGCUUUCCUAUUAUCUAACUUGGCCAAUGAUAGCAAUGCUAGUGUGUCAAUUUUGUGCAGGCUGCUGAAGAUAAGAAGACAAUCUCUGAAAAGAGCAAGGCAACCCCAUUGUUUCUUUCCAAUAAAUCCAGGCCAAGUAAUAUGGCAAUAACUCAUGAUUAAUCUGUUUGGUUCCUAUCCUAAUUUAUGUUAUGACGCGGUGGUCGAGACACUCUCCACUAUCAAUAAUACAAGCCUGCCAAAAUCGCCAUCUGAAUCUGUUCAGCAUCCUCUUCCUCGAAUGCAACGGAAUAAAUGUAUGUUUGUGAACCAAUUAAUGGUUGAAGCAAUGAUGGAAAUGAUGGAUGAAUCAGAGGUGCAGAGUCGUGCGACACAACAACUGAUCAAUGUUUUCAGAGACAGUGUAGCAAAGCAGCAAGAACAUGCCCACAUGCUUAUGGGCGUCAUCAGUGCUGAGGUUGCAAAUUGUGACGUUGUAGAUGGUUAGGUUCUGCUCAUUUAUUUGCACUGGCAUCAAUCUUUGAUUGCCCAGUGGAUGCAAUUUCCUGUAACAUAUGCUGGAUGUGCAACGUUAUUCCCUGUAUGCCGUACCUUUGCUUGAUCAGUUUUGGUCCUGUGCAUAAUUGCUCGUCGUAAUGGGCUCAAAUUAUCUAAUUUGGCCUAAAGACAUGUACGAACUUUAGUGGGCCCAUUAAGUUAAUGGGCCGUUACUAGGCCGAAAGUUAAUGGUUGGCCUGCCUCUUACCUCCCGGGUCAUCAACAGGCCAACAUCAAAGCGGGCAACAGGUGGGCCCAAUUUAUUUUACGGGCCGUUAACAGGUCGUUACUAAGUUUGGGCUACAUAUGGCCCAACUAUACUGUAGGCCUUUAGCAGGCCGAAAGAGACAGCGGGCUUGUACUGGACCAUGAAGAGCAUGGGCCGCUAAGACGCCAAAAGUCAGGUCGUAUUGUAAAUGGCCCAACUGUGUUGUGGGCCUUUAGCAGGCCGAAAGAGAAACCGGGCUUGUAUUGGACCAUGAAGGGCAUGGGCCGUUAAAAGGCCAAAACUAAGGACCGACUACAAAUGGCCCAACUCAUUUAUGGUCCGUUAAUAGGCCGAAAGGCACACAGGGCCGGGAAUUGGCCCAACACUUAAAUGGGUCGCUAAAAGGCCAAAACUCAGGUCCGACUACAAAUGGCCCAAUUGAUUUAUGGGCCGUCAACGGGCUGAAAGUGACACCGGGCCAGAAAUUGGCCCAACACUUAAAUUGGCCGCUAAAAGGCCGAAACUCAGGUCCGACUACAAAUGGCCCAUCAGAUUUAUGGGUCGUCAACAGGCUGAAAGACACACCGGGACGGAAAUUAUCCCAACAUUUCAAUGGGUCGCUAAAAGGCCGAAAGAUGUACAUCCUGAAAAUUGGCCCAUCCAUUGAAUGGGCUGUUAACAGGCCGAAAUCUCAUCGGGCCGAUAUUGAGCCAAAAUAUAUAGUGGGCUGUUAAUGGGCUCGAACUGACGAUGGGUUGCAAUGGUGUUAAAUCUUUAACGGGCCGUUGACGGGCCGAAUUGGCACAUCUCGUAUGGGUCGUGGGCUUAAAUGGACCUGACACAAGUAGGCCUUAUAUGGGCCGGCCUGCUAAUUUUUACUGGGCCGGCCUUUUUCACCGGAAUGGGCCACUGUUGGGCUGUGCCACGUGUCGGCCUAUCAUAGGCGCCUCCUGUCCAAUGAGUGGAUGACAUCUGUCCCAAUGGUGAGGCAACACAUGUUUCCUGCGGCCAAUGAUGAUUUUACACGUGGAAAAUCCCCAUUUGUCCAGGCUAUUAACGGGCUAUCGGAUCCAAAACCGGACCCGAUAGCUUAACGAUGUUCCGUUACGAUGGAUGCCACAUGUCGGUCACCCUUGACGAAAGCACUUCUGUAACGCGCGGUUUAUCGUCAUGGAAGUGGACACUUCCGUGAUGAUAAUUUUGGUAAUGUCAUGGAACACUUCUAUGACAACACAGGUAUGACUAUCUUGAUUUUGUCAUAAAAUCGUCAUGGAUGUACAUGCAUGACAAAAAACAUGACCUACUGUGACAAACAUGUAUCAUCACGGAAGUGUAUUUUUUUGUAGUGAAAAACGGUUCGAAUAAUAACCGGGCCGCGGUGUGAUGUCACUCUGUGAAGAAAUUGUCAGCAGAUUAGACUUGUGAAAUAUUGUUCUCUCUACCGUGGUAUGUGGAAUUUGUUUUACAGAGCCGGACACGAUUCUUGUGUUCAAGAUCUACUUUGGAGUAUUCGGAGAAGGAACCCGCCUUGCAAUGCCAAAGACAAUCUGCGUGCCAGACUUAACAUCAUUGAAGCCUGGUUCAGGGGCUGCUGACGGAGUCCUGGAUUAAGGGGUCGUCGAAUAGCCGGACUAUAUACUUUAGCCAGACUGUUGGACUAUGAAGAUACAAGAUAGAAGACUUCAUCCCGUGUCCGGGUGGGACUCUCCUUUGCAUGGAAGGCAAGCUUGGCGAUUCAUAUAUGUAGAUUCCCUUCUCUGUAACCAACUCGGUGUAACCCUAGCCCCCUCCGGCGUCUAUAUAAACCGGAGGGUUUAGUCCGUGGGACAAGAACAACGAUCAUAAUCAUAGUCUAGCUUCUAGGGUUAGCCUCUACGAUCUCGUGGUAGAUCAACUCUUGUAAUACUCGUAUCAUCAACAUCAAUCAAGCAGGAAGUAGGGUAUUACCUCCAUAGAGAGGGCCCGAACCUGGGUAAACAUCGUGUCCCCCGCCUCCUAUUACCAUUAGUGUUAGAUGCAUAGUUCGAGACCCCCUACCCGAGAUCCACCGGUUUUGACACCGACAUUGCUGUUCUAGGACAAAGAGUUGAUAAGAAAUUAAAUGUUAUCCAUUAUGCUAGUAAAACUCUAGACAGUGCCCAGAGAAAUUAUGGUCCUACUAAAAAAUAAAUUUUAGCAGUUGUAUUUGCUUGUGAUAAGUUCAGAUCAUAUAUUGUUGAUUCCAAAGUAAUUGUUCACAUUGAUUAUCCUGCUAUUAAAUAUCUUAUGGAAAAUAAAGAUGCUAAACCUAGACUUAUUAGGUGGGUUCUCUUGUUACAAGAAUUUGAUUUGCAUAUUAUUGAUAGAAAGGGAGCUGAGAACCCCGUUGCAGACAACUUGUCUAGGUUAGAAAAUGUUCUUGAUGACCCAUUGCCUAUUGAUGAUAGCUUUCACGAUGAACAAUUAGCUAUCAUAAAUACUUCUCGUAAUACUCCAUGGUAUGCUGAUUAUGCUUAUUAUAUUGUUGCUAAAUUUAUACCACCUAGUUUCACAUACCAGCAAAAGAAAAAAAAUUCUAUGAUUUAAGACAUUACUCCUAGGAUGACCCACACCUUUAUAAAGAAGGAGUAGAUGGUGUUAUUAGACGUUGUGUACCUAAGCAUGAAUAGGAAUAGAUCUUAUGCAAGUGUCACUCUGAGGCAUACGAAGGACACUACGCUGGAGAUAGAACUGCACAUAAGGUAUUGCAAUCCGGUUUUAUUGGCCUACUCUCUUCAAAGAUGCUAGUAAGUUUGUCUUGUCUUGUGAUUAAUGCCAAAGAAUUGGUAAUAUUAGUAGACGUCAAGAAAUGCCUAUGAAUUAUACAAUUCUUAUUGAACCAUUUGAUCUUUGGGGCUUUGAUUAUAUGGGACCUUUUCCUUCCUCUAAUAUGGGUAUACACAUAUUAUAGUUGCUAUUGAUUAUGUUACUAAGUGGCUAGAAGCUAUACCAACUAGUAGUGCUGAUCAUAACACUUCUAUUAAGAUGCUUAAAGAAGUCAUUUUUCUGAGGUUUGGAGUCCCUAGAUAUUUAAUGACUGAUGGCGGUUCACAUUUUAUUCAUGGUGCUUUUCGUAAAAUGCUUGCUAAGUAUGAUGUUAACCAUAGAAUUGCAUCUCCUUAUCAUGCUCAUUCUAGUGGUCAAGUAGAAUUGAGUAAUAGAGAGAUUAAAUUGAUUUUACAAAAGACUGUCAAUAGAUCUAGAAAGAGGUGGUCCAAGAAACUUGAUGAUGCAUUAUGGGCUUAUAGAACUGCCUACAAAAAUCCUAUGGGUAUGUCUUCGUAUAAAAUAGUUGAUGGAAAGGCUUGUCACUUACCUCUUAAACUAGAACAUAAGGCAUAUUGAGCUAUUAAAGAGCUCAACUAUGAUUUCAAACUUGCCGGUGAGAAGAGGUUAUUUGACAUUAGCUCGUUUGGUGAAUGGAUAACCCAAGCCUACGAGAAUGCCAAGUUGUUUAAAGAAAAAGUUAAAAGAUGGCAUGACAAGAGGAUACAAAAGUGUGAGUUUAAUGUAGCUGAUCAUGUUUUGCUAUAUAACACUCGUUUAAGAUUUUUUGCAGGAAAACUUCUCUCUAAAUGGGAAGGUCCUUACAUUAUCGAGGAGGUCUAUCAUUCUGGUGCCAUCAAAAUGAACAACACCGAAGGCACAAAUCCGAAGGUAGUACACGGUCAAAGAAUCAAACAUUAUAUCUCAGGUAAUCCCAUAAAUGUUGAAACCAAUAUAAUUGACACUAUCACACCGGAGGAGUACAUAAGGGACACUUCCCAGAAUGUUUCAGACUUCGAAAAGGAAUAGGUAUGUGGUAUGACAAGUAAACCGACUCCAAAACUGUUCUAAUAGCAAUUUUUCUCCGUUUUGGAAUAUUUCAGAAAUUAGGAAAACUAAAAUUAGUCUGAAAGAGACACGAGGCAACCACACGGGUGGAGGGUGCGCCCUACCCCCCUGGGCAUGCCCCUACCUUGUGGCCACCUCGUGUGCCCUCUGGACUCCGUUUUGUUGAACUAUACUUCUUUUGGCGGUGAAAAUUCAUUAUAUAAUCUCCCGAAGGAUUUGACCACCGUACCACGACAAAAAUCUCCUGUUUUCGUUUUGAGCUGUUUUCUGCCAGAAUUUUUAAGGCCAAGCACCAUGUCCUCCUCCUGCAACAACAAUGCGGACGGUGAUGCUUGUUUGAUGCAGAUGGAACUUAGAAGGAGGGAUGCCGAGGGAGUCACGAUGGAGGAGGAUGAAAGGGAUUAGCUUGAGGACCACCCUCCGGCUUCGGAGAGAGGCACUCUUGCUGGCAUCUCCACUAUUCCCAAUCCCCAUCAAUCAAUAGGGACUACAAGCAACUGUUAAUACCAAGAGGUUCGAGAAGGGCUUCCCCCUAGAAGGCCCUUACACAGGUUACAUCGAAAUGACUUUCAUAAUUUGUUUCAUAAUUACGGAGUGGAGAACACCCCUCGUACACAUAUACCCUUGAAUUGGGACAUAUCCCGUCCAAGUGAAAGCAAUGCAGGAAAGAGUUCUUGGGGGCCUGAAAAUAAGAUCUUAUGGAGGAAAUUCAGAAGAAUGCAAAUAUUCUCCAACGCGUGCUCCAAGAACUGCAAGUUAUAAAGGUUGCAUUAAUGAAGCUAACAGAUUCAUCAACAACUCCAUCAUCACCACCUCAUAAGAAAGAGACAUAAAUACAUGGGUAUGUGAACUCCCCUUGGCAACUGCCAUGCUUGCGGGAGGUUCCUCAGUAUCAUAUCACCAUCACACUUAUAUCUUUAUCAUUUUCUUAGUUCGAUCCUUUUGGUUAUAUCUUGAUCUAGUAGGAUAAAGUUUUAUUAUGAUCUAUCUUUCAGUUUUGUUUUGAUCUCUAUCUAUGUAAUCGAGUCCGUGAGUUAUAAUAAAUAGUAGUUUUGAGUUGAGGGCUUUGCUAUCUUGCUAUGAUCUUGAGGGAAUUAAAGAAAGAACAAAAAGAAAUAAAAAGAUCAUAUGCUGAUCUUAUGGAGAGUAAUGACUUCACAUAUAAAGAGUAUGAUGACACUACAAGAAACUUGUUAAUACAUGACGGUCCUCGUCCGUCACAGAUUGACCAAAAUCUGUCAUGUGUGCCCGUCCGUGACGGAUUUGGAAUCCGUCAUGUAUAUCGCGUCAUAAUUUGACAGCGUACCUUCCAUGAUGAAUCUUGGCCGUCAUGGACCUAUCCCAGGCCCGCACAGCCCAAACUAGGCUAUAACAGAAAAACCCGUCAUCGCUUUACAUGACCUGUACCUAACGUGGCGUUUAUGUGGAUCUGACGUGGAGGCCAGCAUGGCCCAUGUAGUAACCGCCCAAUUAGGAUUUUAGCCUAAUAAUUUCAAUCCAGUCCAACCCAUUAGUUGUUUAUUUUGGUCCUGCCCAUGAGCCCACCUGAUUUAUUAGUCCAACGCAUUAGCCCUUUCUUAGUCCAGCAUUAAUGCAUCCCAAUUUACAACAAGACAAUCAAAUUAUAUCCAUUCAAAAAAUAGCAAUUGUUCACAUGACAAUACAGAGUUCCAACAAUCUAGUCUGAUUCCAAAAAACAAAUCUUAAUAUCAAAACAUCAGAAGCAUAUCUAGAAAGCGAUAUAAGCAUUUUUUUAUAUUUCAAGUAACAUAACUUCCAAGAAAAAGAUGCACUAUUAGCUGAUUUUUAAUAUCCAACACUACACCAUCGCUUCCCGACGGCUAUUCAAAGCACUUCAAUCUCCAAACUUCCAAACCUGCAUAGAAUCCAGAACAUACAUAAUUAUAACAAGUUAUAACAGCCAGCUCCCAAAUGAAUCUAGAGAGUAAUAAUAUUAGUUGAUUUUCCAAGCAAUCAUUCGAUAGACACAUCACUACUAUAUUAAGGUACCAUGAAAAUGUGGACAACACAUGCUAAAAAUAGCAUACUAGUUACAAGUUAAAAAAUUGUUCUAUAAAUGUGACAUUUUAUCAUCCAAACAUAGAAAGGUCAGCAUCAUUUUAAAACAAAGGGUGGAUAGAUCAUUUCAUAUUUGCAAAGUACAACAAAAAAUCAAAUUUAUAUGCACGUGACAUGGCUUGGUGUAUCAAAAUGGACGAUUCUGUACAAUACAAUGUAGUUCUUAGUUAACAAAACAUAAAAGUAGUAAUACCAGAGGCAUACUUUCUUCAUCAAUUAUAGCUAAUUUAUAUCAAUAAACUUGCCUUUUGCAUGUAAAAUAAAAAUAUUCAAAGGCAAGGCCAUUUCGGGCAAUAGAAUGAUCCACUUAAUUAGUGAUCUUAUUAUGCUAACAGUACAAUUCUUUACAAAGACGGAACAUUUCUGAGGAUCAGAAAACUUCAGCUAAGAACUUUAGAAUAAAGAUGAACAUAAUGGUUCAGAUUUAGUCUGAUGCUUUUAGACCAUAACCUUAUCAUCUAGACUAACCACAUGAGAAUUAUGAACAACAGUAACAUAUGUUGGAAGGAAGAAAAAAGCAUACAUUCUCCCAUUUACUGAUUAGCUUUCAUAGCAUACAAGGUACAUAAUUAUUUCUUCCCACGCUUCAAUAUGUGAUGGGAUACAAGGCACACAAUUAUCUCUGCCCACAUGAAAAUGUAUGAAGUAAAUAAUUCAAGGGAAUAUACCUAGAUCUUUUUUUCUCCAGUUCUGGUUGUAUACAUAACAUUUUAGUUUAAUUUAGCACAGCAUUCAUUAAUUAUUCUUUCCAUCAAGCUUUCACCAAUGACGUGGUGUGAAUAAUACCAAGAAAUAGAGAAUAUGCUAGUAAUAACACUAAAAUUUUGAGACUGAACAAAUGCACUAUGUAGCAAAUUGAACACUCCUAAAUCUGAAGCGAGAAUAAUAUACCAUCUUUUAGUAGUCUUAAAGAAACAUGUGUAAUCUUCAUUUCCAUCGGUCCUUGAGAUUGGAACUAUGCACACGCAUUUCCAGAAAAAAAUAGUAUAAAAUCCAUCACCUCUGCUGUAACAAGCGAAAACAACUCAGCAUCAAUUAAACUGUUAGCUUGCAAACCCAAAGAGGAAGGGAAACUGAAGGAUUGUUUAUAGAACUGUAUUAAGAAGUCAGGUAAUAUUUAAAUUGAAUAGGACAUCAAGGCAGAUAAUGAAGUUCAUUUCAAGGGUUUCACUUUGUGUCACCUAUUUGAUCAAAGCAGAAGCUAUCAGACAAAGAUUAGUAUGCUAGAGAAACAAUGAGUAUAACAUGAUGAAGAUGUACUCUCAUCAAUGUUAGGAAGUGAAAUGCAAAGUAACAACUCCAGUGUUUGCAUAGAACACACCAGUCUUGCAUCCACAUUGUUUGCAACCAUAUUAAUACAAAACUUAAAGAUUCAAUCAGAAAGCAGAAGAAUAAGGGAGGAAUAACCCACUAUCCCAGUGACAGCAAACAGCAAAGCAUAACAAACAGAGGAAGAAAUCAAUCUAAUCGCCCUGGUCACGUAGGCCAGCCAAUGGACAGAUGUGUAGGGCAAGCUAUUACUGUGAUUACUUUGAACAAACGUGUAGUGCAACAUCGAUGUCACAACAUCCGUCAGUUUUACUUGUUGCUCUUUAGGGGCGUGUGGCUUCCUGGCUACAACAUCAACAGCAGCAACAUGACAGGGGGUCAAAAAAACUCGACCUUGGGAGGCAAGAGUGCGAGGCCAAGCAGGCGGUGGUGUGCGGUUUUCUUCUUUUCGUUUGUUUUCAGGCAGGAGGGCAACUCGUUUAUCCAAUCUGUAGGAGACUACAAUCAACUUGGAACUCAAUUACUAAAUUAAUUAGAGAUUGUGAAGAACCUGCAGGUUUAAUUCCCAUUAUUGGAUUUCUUGCAUUGUUGUACUACAGCCAACAACAUUUCAACCUAGUGAAUAUUGAAGUUGCAGCAUUGGAAACCCCACAACCAACGUCCAGUAACGGGAUACAAACAAAAGUCUAAAAUUGUACCCCUAAAAUACAUCUAGAACUCAAGUACAAGCAAGCCAUUUGCCGAGAUGCACUCACCAUCUAAUGAAAUCAAUGCGGCCAGUGCCAUCCGCUCCACCUUGCAAUAUUGCCAAGUCUCAUGCUAGUGAUGAAAUUGGCUUGACCUUUCUUCCGAGUUCUAAU